GCCCCUGCCGGUGGUCAGGGCCGGCAGGCCCGCGGCGAGGAUGACGGUCGUCCGGGCGUCCUCCGCGUCCGUGCAGGAGAAGCUCACGGCCGGGCUGACCGCGGCGGCCGUGGCGGCGGCGCUGGUGCUGCCCGAGGUCGCGGAGGCCGCGUCCCCGGGGCUGUCCCCGUCGCUCAAGAACUUCCUGCUCAGCAUCGUGUCCGGCGGGGUCGUCUUCGCCGGCAUCGCCGGGGCAGUCGUCGCCGUCUCCAACUUCGACCCCGUCAAGAGGACCUGAUCGCCUCGCCGGAUUCUCAGGGCACGUCGCCUCGCUUUGUAUCUCCAUAAAUCUCUUUUCUGUGUUUUAUUCGGAGACUCUGUACGUAGAAGAGAUCCAUGACAAUGGAGUUCUGAUUAAUGGCUGUGUAUACUCUGGUUCGUCUGCUUAAACUCAUGCUUGCGGGCUGUAUCCAGUAAUUGGAUGUUUGUUUACUUCUGAAGCUACUUCCCCCUUUCCAAAUUACUUACAGCGUGCUCGGCAGUAUGAGGGAAAGGGAAUGGAAGGUUACAAGAGGGAGUAUGUCUAGAUAUUAGACUUGAGAAUUACUAGAAUUUUAGUCUCAAUCUCCAUUUUGAUGUGUGGUCGGAAUUAUCGGUGAGUUGAAUUAACAGGGGGCUUGGGAAGAGAGACCAUGAAAUUGACCUCUUUUAUUUCCUUUCCCCUUCUCUCCUCAAUUCCCUUGCCCCUAGCCAAACAAUGAAUAAUAUGUCUUGUAUCCUUAAACUCUUGUUCCCUAUCACAAAUUGCCUCCAACCAAACAUGCUUUUAGUUUUAGGUUGAUCCUAAAUCGAACUUCUUUAAAUUUGACCAAAUCUAUAGAAAAUAUAUCAACAUUGACACCAUUCAAUUACUUUCAUUAGAUCCAUCAUAGGAUAUACUUUUAUUCAUAUACGCGCUCCGUCCCGAAUUACUUGUCGCGGAAAUGGAUAUAAAUUAAUGUAUCUAAAACUAUAAAUUCAUCUAGAUACAUUCACUUCUGUGACAAGUAAUUCAAACGAAAAAAGUAUAUUUCUGAUGUUGUAGAUAUUGGACUUUUUUAUAUGGUCAAACUUGAAGAAGUUUGACUUAGACAAAACCAUAACUUCAACGAAUUUGGAAGGGAGGUAGUACCAACCAGUGCAACUUCUUUUCACCUUUUAUCAAAAAAAAAUUGAAUCCAAUGUUUGAUUCUUGCCUUACGGAACGAACGUCUGUUGCCAUCCGAUGUGGGAGGAUAAACAAUGAGACGAGGAAGAAUCGGCGGGCGGAGGUGGCCGACUGCCGUUCAUGGACAAAAGUGGGCGCCGCUACCUCCAAUUAUCACACAUUGGCGUCACGAUAUGGGUAUAGGUGCAGGGUGUGGUGGUGACUUGGUGUUCGCACAAACAAUACUAGUGCUCCGGAUCCGCGACGCGCUCAUCAACCUGAUUGGCACCAUUGUUAUAUGUCUCGACGCAACAGGCCAGUGAUGGGGCCCUAGUGGUGGUGGUGGUGGUGGUGGUGGUGGUGGUGGUGGUGGAGGUAAACAAGAUACAGAGAGAAUGAGGAUAUAUAUUUUGACAAAACACUAAAAGCAUUAUCAGGGUUGAACUGCCUCAUCAACGAGACAACAUGGGAAAAACCAUCUUUUGAUGGGCUAUUUAACACAAUUAUUAGCCAAAAUUGAUGGAAGUGUCGUAUUAGUAACAAAUUUAGACCAGUGUCUAACAUGGAUUUUUUUCCAUAACCAAAUAGGGAAACACAUUACUAUUUAGGGUUAACUAAGGAAACAUUUGUUGUCUGGGUGCAAAUAGUUUUGUGAACAACAACAAUUCCAUCAAAUUGCUAGGAGUUUCAUAUUUGAUCCUUCAUUCCCAUAUAUUUCUUCAAUAAAAAAAAUUGUGUUUGCGUUAUAGGUAUCAUGUCUAAUUAGUUGUGCAAUAUAUUUAUUUAAAUUUUCUACAUUGUUUAGAUUCUGCAUUCAGCUAACUAUUGUGAUAUUUCUUUUUAAAAAGAUUUUUGCGUACCUCCCUCAUAACAAUAAACAUACGCUCCACCCAUAGGGAAGGGAAAGAGAAUUCACUAGCAAGUGUCAGCAACCCCCUUUCUUAUACCCUCUGCUCUAAAGAUUUCAGAUUCAAAGAAUAUGGUUCAAGAAGGUCACAUUUUGGGGGGGGGGGGGCUUCUUGGUCUGGCCUUUCUAACAUCCCUGUAUUUUUCGUAUGAUGAUUUAUAGUCGCCUCUAGACUUGCGUCGUCUCAGUGUUCNNNNNNNNNNNNNNNNNNNNNNNNNNNNNNNNNNNNNNNNNNNNNNNNNNNNNNNNNNNNNNNNNNNNNNNNNNNNNNNNNNNNNNNNNNNNNNNNNNNNNNNNNNNNNNNNNNNNNNNNNNNNNNNNNNNNNNNNNNNNNNNNNNNNNNNNNNNNNNNNNNNNNNNNNNNNNNNNNNNNNNNNNNNNNNNNNNNNNNNNNNNNNNNNNNNNNNNNNNNNNNNNNNNNNNNNNNNNNNNNNNNNNNNNNNNNNNNNNNNNNNNNNNNNNNNNNNNNNNNNNNNNNNNNNNNNNNNNNNNNNNNNNNNNNNNNNNNNNNNNNNNNNNNNNNNNNNNNNNNNNNNNNNNNNNNNNNNNNNNNNNNNNNNNNNNNNNNNNNNNNNNNNNNNNNNNNNNNNNNNNNNNNNNNNNNNNNNNNNNNNNNNNNNNNNNNNNNNNNNNNNNNNNNNNNNNNNNNNNNNNNNNNNNNNNNNNNNNNUCUUCUACAACAUAUUUGAUUUGAAGGUAUUUUUACAUGGAAAAUCAUGUUUAUUGCUUAGCUAACACAUUUACUUGAUCUAUUAAACAAGAUUUGUUUUAUAUCUUCUAAAACUCUACAAUGCCUCUAUGGUGAUUCAUAUAUCUAUAUUGAGGUGCAUACUCUACUUACAAGGUGUAAGAACCAUGUGAUUACAAUAGGCCACAUGCUGGUGCUGAUUGUUGUACUAGUUGUAGCGACUCACCUUUCCAUUUCUAUCCCUAUUCUCUAAUUUGUUUGUUUUCUAAUUCAGGUCAUGACACUGGUAACUUCAAUAGUGUUUAGUGGAAAUUGAAGCAAAUGCGUCCCUAUGUGAAGUGUGUAUGAUCGUUUGACAAUAAUGGUUUGUUCCAUGAUUAUCGAUUGGGUUAUAGUACUUCGGAGAUCGGUGAUGGUUCAAUCUUUUUUUAUUGUUGGAACGUGUAUGAUGCAUCUAUGACUAUAAUGCACCAUGUUUUAUGUUCUCAUAUUUCUUUUUUUUUUCGAAUGGCCACCCAUGGUAGCACUCGUCAGGUGUUACAUUCAGAUAGCAUAAUGGGCCUUAAUUGAGCAGGAGCAUCUGCAAUUAGCGUCAGGUCAUCUUCCCUUCUAGCUUUACCGCCAACUCAUGCGCCAAUAUGUUCCAUAUACCUAGGGAGAGGAACUGAUGUUGUAAACCUCAAAUAUAGACAAAGCAGCGUUUGACUCUGAUGAGGACAUGACUACCUUGGAUACGACCAAAAAUAUUGCAUACAUGCAUAUUUGUCAGGUGAUUUCUAGUGCAAACUAUUCAAUAAUCUAUUUAUGUUAUCCAGAACAAAAAUACUUCACACACUUUUGUGUUUUGUCUAAUUGCAGGUGUAUGGGAUAUUUGUACAAUUCACAUAUGAAGAUAAGGGAGAAAGAUAUGUUUAAGUGCUGUUCAAAAAGUUCUCUCACAUCACUUUUGGGCCAAGAGAAGAUAGAGUCCAAAUCUCUCACGUUCUAGAUUCAGAUUCGGACUGCACAGAGAUACCUGACUCAAAACGCCAACAACUUUUUCAUACGGACUCCGAAUUGGGUGAUUUUUUUUGUUGGAUUCUAGAUUUUGUGCUCUUUCCAGCUCAAUUGGAUUCACCUUCAAAUUCGUCCGGAGCGUUGAGAUAUCGACGAAACAAUCAGACGCUGCAGCAGAAUCCGAGUCAAACAACAAGUCCAAAGGUGCUGCAUCACCUCCACUUGGGCCCAUUGACCUUGUACGACCUAGGGUUAGUUUUAGGCUGCCUUGAGACGUCCUCCCACCUCCUAGGCCGCCACCCCUUGCUCCUAUAUAAGUAGAUCCAUCUAGUAGCUUUUCCCUUGGGAUUUGUUUAGUUAAAAGUUAGCCAUUGCAACUUCGUGUACUUCGUUUGUGUCCAACGACCAGACCAAGACCGCGUACGGAUCCCCGCCUUUAUCAAUACUUCAUAUAUUCUCGCAAUAUUCAGAUUGCUUUUAUCAUAUUCUUGCUAGUUCUUCGAUUGCUUGCAGGAAUAGACCUUCGUGGUCAGGCUGACCGUGCUUCCGGCAUCGUCAGUAACCUCAGGAGAUUGGUUUAGCGAUUGCUAAGGCGCAACGUCGUGCACGUUUGUAGUCGGAUCAUCAAAGUCAUCUUCACCAAAUCGAUAGUUAUCAUCUCAUCGAAUGAUCGGGACACCCCGCCUCUAUCAAGUGGUAUCAGUUUUCAGGUUGCUCGGUGAGAAUUUCCUGUUUUUUCUAGAUUAGAUUUAUUUUCUUACCUAUUGUCCAAGAAAAAGCCACAAAAAAGUUAGAUCUAUUCAUCCUUUGUCCAAGUCAGUCUGAGCCUUUGCAAUUUUCUUUUCAUUAUUUGCAUUAUUGAAUUAUCGGUUUCAUCGUCGUGUCGAGUUGCUGGUCUUAGUGUCUAGUUCGUUUAGAGUUUUGAGUUCUGUUCACAUUAGUCACGCCGCCGCUGCAUCGUCAUCCCUUCCACUGUCCACCACCCAUCCAUCAAAUUCCACCAUGUGCUACCAACCGUUCAUUGUCAUAAUCAUAGUUGAGAUCGUUCACAUCUUCGCUUGAUCCAAUCUGCAUCUUAUCUAGUUUGUUUUGGAAAGAGAGAGACAAAAAAAGACGGAAAAAAGAGAGAGAAAAAAGUAAAAAAAGUCAGAAAAAAAGAGAAAGAAAAAGAAAAAAAAGUGUGAGAAAAAAAAGGAAGAGAAAAAAAACAAAAUUCGGAUCUAUCUAGACUCAAUCUCGUAGUUGAAUUCGGAUUGAAAUCUGUUUUGUGCACUGUUCAGUAAAACAGGCAUAACUUCCUCAUACGAAGUCCGUUUUGGCUCCACAAUUACUCAAAUUAAAGCUAGCGACUAGACGCAUCUGAAUAGUUGCAAAAGCUAUAUUUGGCGUCUCAAAAUCAGCUUCUAAAUAGGUCAUUUUGCCCUCUGAAGUUCGCGCAUACAGUUUGUUCCAGUUUUUCAGGCCAGUUUUAGAAUUCUUUGACUCCUCAUAUCAAUUCGGAAUUGAGUGAUUCUUUUUGUAUUGGAAAGCUUGAGUUAGUAGCAAACUUUUCAAGGGGAAAGUUGGAGAGAGAGUUCUUAUAUAUCCUGCUUGGCAGUUGUUAUUCAUCAUUAUCUUUACUAUCGUUGUGAUCUUCACUUAUAUCUGGCUGUCCAGAGCUACUUAUCCUUCAUUGAUGCUAGUUGUGCUAUGUCGUGACCUCAUUAGUGUUCUAGGCUCGCGUCUCUAGUCCGGUCUAGCCUAGGACCAGCACAGUAUCGUUGUUGAGCGUUUAUUCAACAUUGCAUCUUUGAAUUUAUUAUUGCUAAUCUUUUGCUACCAUAUAUAGCCAACCCAGCUCCACAUAUUUCUACACCGUGUAUAUGUACGUUCCCCUGGCAAUCGCUUUACACAAUCUCCAGAGUUAUUUGACACCGCUGGUUGCCUGUCACCACCUAUCGCAUGGUAAGAACUUGUAAGAUAUUGAUAUUUGCUUUACUGUGAGCACGUUACAACCACAUCCUAGUUGUUCAUAGGAACAUUAUUCUCGAAUUUUGUUUCUUGUUUCUACUAAUCAUGACAGGUUCCGGAGAAAGAAGUUCUUGGACGACGAACACAUCUUCACCAUCACGAGAGUUGGGACAACACACACAAGCACAUGGUCAGGUUAUCUCUUUACCAUCAUUUGAGGAUAGAUUUAAUCCUGCUAUUUAUCUAGAUUGGGAGCUUGAAGUAGAACAAGUUUUUAGUUACCAUGACUUUUCUGAACUUGAGCGAGUACGAGCUGCCACUAGAGCAUUUACUAGUUUUGCUUCUGUUUGGUGGAGUGUGCAUUAUAAGAAAAACAUUGAUAACCAACCCACAACUUGGAAAGAUUUGAAACAUGUAGUGAGACAACAAUUUUUCCCUCCUUACUAUCGUCGGGAAUUGCUUCGCAAAUUUGAACAAUUUAAACAAGGCAAUAACACUAUUCAUGCUUACUAUCAAGAGUUCAAAUCUUAUAUGCAUCAUUGUGACAUAGAAGAAUCUAAGGAUGAUACAAUGAAUAGAUUUUUUGGUGGUUUGAACCAUGAUAUUCAGGCAAGAUUUAGGUAUAUUCCUCGUUGCAUUACUGGUAUGUAUGUUCGUGCUUGUACCUUUGAGAGACAGUUACAGGAGGAUGUAUUGGGUGACUACAACAACUACUAUUCCAAUUCAUGCUCACUACCAUCGGUUGAUUCCUCCACCGUUGCACCUACUAGAUCAGCCACACCUCAGAUUGUGAGUGCGACAUCAUCUCAAGUGUAUGGUACAUUGUCAUUGUCCAUACCGACAUUAGCUACGUCUUUGCGACAAGGUAACAGUAAAGAUAUUGAUGAUAUAACUUCACAUGAGAAUGAUGCAUCCCUAAUUAACUUAAAUACAUCAUGUGUUUAGUUACCUAUUGAUUUGAGCACGCCACCUAUUUUAGAGAAUCAUGUUAUUAUCAUGAAUGCAUCAUGUGAUCAAACAACUGAAAUACCAACAAUUUUGAGUGCACCCAUUGAAUUAACUAUUGAUGCAAAAGAACCAAUGUUUAAUCAUUUUGAUAUGACCUCUAAUCUUAGUGAUGAUUCUGUGUCCAAUGACUUAUUGCAUGUUUGCUUAUUUAAGCAUGUUGUAGCAUGUAAAUUUGAUGCAAGUAAGGUUUAUUCACCAAUGUUGGGAUGGUUUAAUGAUGAAUAUUGUCAAUCUUUUGAUAGGAAUAAGAGCUUCACUUAUAUGUGCAAACUGAGUUGCAAUAUUUUAAUGCCUUCUACUUAUGAUAAUAUUUUGGCUUUAUAUUUUAUGAUCUAUGAAAGUUACUCAUGUAUACAUGUGUCAUAUGUGCAAAAAUCAAUGGAACUAAAAAUGGAUGACAUAUACAUAUACAACAUGUAUACCUUGUCUUUUUUGUUAGCCACAUUUCAGAUUAAGCAACGCCGAGGACAACUUUGUUUUCAAAAAGGGGAGGAUGAUGAGGACAUGACUACCUUGGAUACGACCAAAAAUAUUGCAUACAUGCAUAUUUGUCAGGUGAUUUCUAGUGCAAACUAUUCAAUAAUCUAUUUAUGUUAUCCAGAACAAAAAUACUUCACACACUUUUGUGUUUUGUCUAAUUGCAGGUGUAUGGGAUAUUUGUACAAUUCACAUAUGAAGAUAAGGGAGAAAGAUAUGUUUAAAUGCUGUUCAAAAAGUUCGCUCACAUCACUUUUAGGCCAAGAGAAGAUAGAGUCCAAAUCUCUCACGUUCUAGAUUCAGAUUCGGACUGCAUAGAGAUACCUGACUCAAAACGCCAACAACUUUUUCAUACGGACUCCGAAUUGGGUGAUUUUUUUGUUGGAUUCUAGAUUUUGUGCUCUUUCCAGCCCAAUUGGAUUCACCUUCAAAUUCGUCCGGAGCGUUGAGAUAUCGACGAAACAAUCAGACGCUGCAGCAGAAUCCGAGUCAAACAACAAGUCCAAAGGUGUUGCAUCACCUUCACUUGGGCCCAUUGGCCUUGUACGACCUAGGGUUAGUUUUAGGCUGCCUUGGGACGUCCUCCCACCUCCUAGGCCGCCACCCCUUGCUCCUAUAUAAGUAGAUCCAUCUAGUAGAUUUUCCCUUGGGAUUUGUUUAGUUAAAAGUUAGCCAUUGCAACUUCGUGUACUUCGUUUGUGUCCAACGACCAGACCAAGACCGCUUAUGGAUCCCCGCCUUUAUCAAUACUUCCUAUAUACUCGCAAUAUUCAGAUUGAUUUUAUCAUAUUCUUGCUAGUUCUUCGAUUGCUUGCAGGAAUAGACCUUCGUGGUCAGGCUGACCGUGCUUCCGGCAUCGUCAGUAACCUCAGGAGAUUGGUUUAGCGAUUGCUAAGGCGCAACGUCGUGCACGUUUGUAGUCGGAUCAUCAAAGUCAUCUUCACCAAAUCGAUAAUUAUCAUCUCAUCGAAAGAUCGGGACACCCCGCCUCUAUCAGACUCAAAUAUCAUCGGAAAGCAUGCUGAUGGAUUUGACCUUCCAAUGUGCAGCUCUUUUGCAAUGAGUGCACAGUCCAAUUCAAGAAUUAUGGGGCCUCUGUACAUUCUCGGCAGGGAUUUUAAGUCAACCACAGCAGCGCAUCCCUCGACCUCCACAACUGACUCGCACCGAACCAUGGGCCUGCUAACUGAGACCAACAGAAAACCCCUAUGAUCUCUGGCAACAACACCGACACAACUCUCGCUCGAUUCAGUCAAAAACACUGCGUCCGAGUUUAUUUUGACAGUUCCGACCAGGGGGCUAUCCUAGCGAAUCAAUAGUUCCUCUGGGGGUCUGGGAAAGCUGUUCGACAAGGACCACAUGGUUUUGCCCUGACCAUCUUCAAUCGACAUAGUCAGGAUUCUGAUUUCCUCCUCGAAUAUGGUCAAGAACUGCACUAAUCUCGAGAUUAGUUCCUUGCCAUAAUUAUGAACAACAAUAUCAUGUACUCCUUCCGUUUCAUAGUAUAAAAGCGUUUUUGACACGAUACCAAGUCGUCCAUAACAGCAACAAAACUUUACUCUAGUUUCAGUAUUACACUUAUCUAUAAAAAAUUGCAGCCAACCCUUGCCAGUGUACCAAAAUUCUUUUUCUUCAGGCAACACCCUGCCAGCUGCGAACCAGGUGGAUCUGGCUCGAGGCUAGUGGCGGAGACAGGGGAGACCAGCAGGGGCCCUGGCCCCCCCUAUGACUGCUGAUUUGCUGCUAGUUUAUACAUGAACAGUGUAAAAUUUAGACAAAAAUGCAUACAUUAAUAUUGGUUGGCCCCUCUUAUCAAAAGAUUGAGUCAUUUGGCCCCCCUAAUCUUUAAUUCCUGGCUCCGCCGCUGCUCGAGGCAACCAACCCGUCUCGGCCCUAGGAGCCGGUGGUGCAACAAAUCUUCCGUGCAUCGACGUCCUGGAUCCUGGGCGAUGGCAAGCAGCGUCGUUUCUGGACUGGCCCAUGGCUUGAUGGGCGCUCCAUCUCUGAGCUGGCGCCCCCUCUCAUGACGCUGGUUCCACAGCGACGAAGGCACUAAGCUCGUUUGCAAGGCCAUCCUCGACCGCGCCUGGUCGCCCUGGGAGUGGUGACCACGUUGCAAUAUGUUGACAUCAUGCGCAUGCUCCAAUGGGUUUUUCUCUCCAAUACCCUCAACAAAAUCCUCUGGCGAUGGACAACGAACAACAUCUACUCGGCUGCAUCCUGCUACCAGGCCCUCUUCACCGGUUCAACUGUGGCCCCUUUCUGGCAGCUAAUUUGGAAAACUUGGACGCCUCAAAGUGCCAAGUUCUUCCUCUCCUCUGGCUUGCGGCACUUGACAGGUGCUGGACGGCCGAGCGUCGGGCACGGCAUGACCUCAUGCGCGACCUGUUGUGCGUCCUCUGAGACCGAAAUCAUCCAUCACACCCUGGCUGGAUGUGUAUUCUCGCGCAUCACUUGGCACGAGAUCCUAUCUUGGUGCCGCCUAACUACAACGCCACCCGGGUCCUCAGCUUCCGGGUUGAUUAACUGAUUAAUCCAUCUCAAAUGGACAGGGCGUUUUGGCUCUCAGGCUCAUAUGAGCCCCGGAGUGAACAGUAAAAUCGCAAAAAAUACUAUUGUUCUGAAAAAUCACAAAAAGAAUUGUGGUGAAAGAUGUGUGAGUUCAUGAUACCCGUGCAAAAAAAUCAGCACAUUUGAACAUCUGACGGGCUUUCAGCAAAAAAAAGACAAAAUUGGGAUACGUGGAAAAGUUUACUGUUUUGCACUAUUCGGAGAUGAUUUUUUGCUGAGAGCUAUUCAGAUGUCCGAAUGAGCUGAAAUUUGCCACGAACUUCACGUACUCGAGCAACUUUCGCCAUACAAAAGUUUGGUUUUUUUAAUUUUCUAGUAUUUUAUUUGAAUUUACUGUUCACAGGGCGUAGAUGAGCUUCGGAGCCGAAUUGAAUAUUCGAUCUCAAACAUGAUAUUUUAACGAGUUUUGUUGUUCUCAAUCUUUCUUUCCUCAGUAUCCAUUGGUCCAUCUGAAUUAUGCUCUUUCUAUUUCGCACAUGCUAAAUAAUUCACUUCUUGAGCAGCUCGUGUCCACAUUCAAUUCCUCUCCAUGCCGGCGAGGCAUCCAUAGAAAACACAGUGCUCAGAAGAUCUCCUUUUGGGUAAUACUUAGAUCUAAGGACCCUUGCACACAGUCUGUUUGGAUUUUGGAUGAGCCUCCACCCUGUCCUGUCAACAACGUUUGAUUAAAAAAAGGCACAUUUGCAUUUUUGUCCCUAACUCGAACCGCCUACUCAGAUUUACCCCUAAUUUCGAAGCAUGCUCAAAUUUACCCCUCUGCCGUUAGGUGCCCUUAUAGAAAUGCUCUUUCAUGUCGUUUCCGUCACGUCAAAGGGCUUUGACCAUUUUAUUCACGUUUGCUGGACAUUUUUGCCCCUCUGUGCAUGUCCCACUUAUAGGUGGGACCUACCUAGGGAAAGAAAAAAAAACUCCCUCUUUCUCUCUGACUUACACGUGGAGCCCACCAAUAAAAAAAGGUCUCCCUCUCUCAUAACCUCCCCCUCUCCCUGACAUGUGGGCCAUUGAACCCAAUGUCAGGGUCAACUCCUGUUCGCACGUGGUCACGGCGAGGCUUGGCGGCUCGGCCGGUGGACGUUGCCGGUGAGGGACAUGCGCCUGCGUGUGAGGACCGCGGUGGGAGGCUCGGGAUCGUCUGACGGAGGGGGUGGAGCCGCCGCCCACAUCUUUCGUUGGAGCUAUCAUGGGAGCAAUCGUCUGAGAGCGCCUGAGAGCUUCGGUCGACGACGUCGUUAGCCACCGCGGCCGGAGUCCAAAUCCAACCAUACGAGCAUGUCCAUGAGCUUCGUCGGGUGCCUCUCCUCUGCCCUGCGCAGUGAAUCGGGCCUAGGGCCGCCAUAGACGACACCUGGGACAUCGAACUCCGCCAAGGCCGUCGCUCUUCCUGCCCUAAAUUCGGCCGCCAUGAGCCAUUCUUCACCAACCCGACCUCUCUCAAGUCAUCUAGGAAAGCUCACACCCCUACUCUCAUCAUCCCCUACCCGAUUCCGUGCCCGGAGCCCCCUGCUCAAAGCCGGACGCGAUGACUGACCUCGGUUGUGUGUUGGCCAUGUGUGCGCGCAUCUACACCCUGCUACGCCCGGUGAGCUUGAGUCUCGCGUAGCUCGCAUGGUUGGCGCCCUCCCCGCGCGGUCAACCACCCCCCUACGGUGAGCAACCGGCGAGCGCAUCCGCUGACGGCCGGGAAAGAGAAGGGAUGAGGGAGAGUGUUUUUUUACUUUGUCCUUGGUAGGUCCCAUGUGUAAGUGGGUGACCCAUGGUAGAUCUGAGCUGGCAUAGUUUUCCUUUUAUUUAAUUCAAAUGGGUCCCGCAUGUAAGUGUCACAUGGAGUCAGAGGCAAAAUGCCCGACUAACAUCUAGAAAAUGGUCAAAGCCCUUUAACCUAAUAGAAAAGGCACAUAAGGGGAUUUCUGUAAGGGCACAUAAUGGAGGAGGGGCAAAUUUGAGCAAGCUUCCAAAUUAGGGGCAAAUAUGAGUAGUAGGUUCGAGUUAGGGAUAGAGAUGUAAAAGACCCUAAAAAAUGCAGGCCUCCAGCUCUUUUCGGUUUGGCCAUUCGGUUCCCAGACAUCUAGUGCAACUUCCCACGGCCCUCCUCAUCUCCCCACCAGAAAUCGUGAAUGAUCUUUUCAUAUGUUUCGCAAAAACCCUUGGACAGCAAGAACAUCCCAUGGUCAAAGUGGGUAGGGCUUGAACCACCAAUUUGAUAUGAACCUCUUUUGCAACAUAAGACAUUAAUCUCUCGUUCCAAAUAUUGCAUUUGUUCCCGACUCUAUCCAUGAUCAGUUGGAAGUUCUCAUAUUUCAUUCUCCUUUCUCGUUACGGUAGACCAAGAUAUUUGCUAUCGAAGGUCGAUGGUUCCAUUUCCAACACCGGUUUAAUAUCCUCUCUGGUUUGACUCGAACACUAUUCACUAAAGAUGAUCGAGCACUUGCUCGAACUGAGAAGUUGACCGGUGCACCCGUGGAACACUUGGGAGGACAUUUUUAACCGUAACAACUUGGUCCACCGAGGCUUUAAAAAAUAGCAUGUUGGCAUCUGCAAAGAGGAGGUUUGAGACACCCGGGCUAUUGCGAGCCACCUUGACCAGUGUGAUCCUUCCACCAGCCACCUCCUUGUUAAGAAAAUUAACCAGACCAUCUGCCACAAAGAGAAAUAGGUAUGAGGUGAGUAGAUCACCUUGACAAAAGAACCCUCGUUGGCUUGAAAUUAUCCAGUUGUUCUCCAUUAUGCUUAACGAAUAAUCUAACAGAUGCCACACAUUGCAUGACCCACUGUGUCCAUCUCCGGCUGAAUCCAAUCUUUUCUAAAGCCUACUUCAGAAAUCUCCAAUCAACCAUGUCAUACGCUUUGGUGAGGUCAAGUCUGUAGGCACAAUGAGUAUCUCACGGGGUUGUACUAUGCUGAAUUUUAUGGAAACACUCAAACACGAUGAUGGCGUUAUCGGUUAUCCUUCUUCCAAGAACAAAUGCACUAUGUGUUUCUACAAUGAUCUCAUCCAGGAAGGACCUAAGUCUAUUGACCGAACGCUUGGAGACAACAUUGUAAAUCACAACACAUAAGCUUAUGGGGCUGAAGUAUGAGGAGUAUCACCAUGCCGUUUAUUCCUUCAAGCAUUCACUACUAGAAAAAGGGUUAUAGCUAAUAUGAACAUUAAUGGCGCACCACAUGUGUGGUGCAUCACUGCUAUAUAGCAGUGGCGCACCAUGUAUAGGUACAUCAUUAGUGUCCAUAUCACUAAUGGCGCACCACACCCACGGUGCGCCACUACUAACAUUUUUUUUCAAAACUAGUAAUGGCGCACCAGGGGAUAGUGCGCCAUUACUAGUUUUAACUAGUAAUGGCGCAACACACACUCUGUGCGCCACUACUAACAAAUUUUUUACUUAUUUUUUCAAAACUAGUAAUGGCGCACCAGGGGAUAGUGCGCCAUUACUAGUUCAAACUAGUAAUGGCGCACCUCAACCACGGUGCGCCACUACUAACAAUUUUUUUUAAACUAGUAAUGGCGCACCACAUACUAGGUGCACCAUUAGUAAUCAGGGUUACUAAUGGCGCAUUAUUAGGUGGUGCGCCAUUGGUAACCUGAGAGCAGCUAGAUAUUUUGGACAGCCACCUACCACACUCACUUUCCCCACUUCAUUCUCUCCACCUCGUCCUCCAAGCUUGUCUCGGCUGCCUCCUCCUCCUCACCUCAUUUGCAACAUAGAUUCACCCAAAUUAAGUGGUUAAAUUUCCUUUUUUUGAUAGGUAAGUAAGGGGAAAGCUUUUUUUAUGUUGUAGAUCAACUUUUUUCUCCCUCCAACAACGUGCACAUGCACUUUUUAUGGUCUAGAUCUACGUAUGUUUGUGGUAUUGCAUAUGUUUGUGUUUGCAGGUACCGGUAUUUGAAAUGCGAAAGUUGCCAAUAUUUUGCUGGAAUGUUGAUUCAUUUCCGUUUCGGCGAGAAUUUGGCACCAUGCAUUCUUUUUGGUCCUAUUUUUAGGCAAAGUCAUGCCAAAUUUUUUUUUGGUUCUAAAAUAUCAUUUUGCUCUACCCCACAGGCGACCAUGGUCCGCACGAUGACCGAAGGCAUUGUGAAUAGGUUUUUGAGCUCCGCGAAGGCCAUGAUGCUUCAAAAGAACGAGAUGGAGAUAAGAUGUCCGUGUCGAAGAUGCAAGCUGAAGAGCCUUAUGGACCCGGAUUCCGUACAGGUGCGGGACCACCUGCUCUUGCGUGGUUUCAUGGAUGGCUAUCGGUGGCAAGGUGAUGAAGAUGAUUAUGAAGUCGUCCAUGGGGGCCGGGCAAGAAAUGAGGAAGGGCAGCAAGACAACCGCGGCGAGGGCGGGCGAGAAGACGAAGAAUCUCCAGGACAUGAUCACGUAGUAGAUGCAGUACACAGUCAUCAUGUAGAAGAUGCCGGACAUGAUGAUGAGGAAGAUGCCGGAGCAGACGAAGGGCAUGAUCAUGAAGAUGAAGAUGCCGGAGCAGAUGACGAUGGACCAUCAAUGGGCUGGAUGCAGGACCCUCAUAUUCAAGAGCUGCUUCUCAAGCAGACGGAUAACGCAAGAGCUGCCACCCGAGAGAAAGCCAAGCUAGAUCAACUGGAGAUAGAUGCGGUUACUCCAUUGUAUGAAGGAUGCAUGCCCGAGGAUACCCACCUGAAAGUAACGCUCAUGGCCUUGGAGAUGAAGGUAAAACACAAAAUGACCGACGCAUGCUUCGACGAGAACAUGUCCUUCUGGCACGAACGUCUUCCCAAGGGGAACAAGUGCCCGACCAGUUUUGAGGAGGCGAAGAAAAUCGUGUGUCCUCUGGAUUUACGACACGUGAAAUACCAUGUGUGCAUGAACAAUUGCAUCAUUUAUCGAGACGAGCACGCGGAGUCUACCAUAUGUCUGGUGUGCGGCGUCACUCGAUACAAGAAGAGGAAGAAAGCUCCUCAAAAAGUGGUGUGGUACUUUUCGAUCACUCCUCGUCUGCAGCGGUAUUUCGCGGACCCUAAGGUAGCAAAGCUCCUGCAUUGGCACGCAGAUAGGGAGGAGAAGAAGCGAGAAGAUGAUGGAAAUGAUCCAGAGAUAAAUAAAAAAGACAAGAUGCUGAGUCACCCUAAGGAUGCGAGCCAGUGGCAAGCGUUGAACUUCGAACACCCAGAAUUUGGGGACGAUCCAAAGAACAUCAUGCUAGGCGCGAGCACCGAUGGAGUCAAUCCGUUUGGCAGCCAGAGAAGCACACAUAGCACCUGGCCCGUGUUUGUGUGGAUGUACAACCUUCCUCCCUGGUUGUGCAUGAAGAGGAGGUACAUUCACAUGAGUAUGCUAAUUGAAGGGCCGAAACAACCAGGGAACGACAUCAAUCUAUAUCUGGGGCUGCUGAAAGAGGAGCUAGACAUGCUGUGGAAAACGCCAGCCAAUACGUGGGACACAGCAGAGAAAGCAUAUUUCCCUAUGAGAGCCGCACUGCUCACGACGGUGCACGACUAUCUCGGUUACGGAUAUGUCGCGGGGCAGGUGGUCCACGGAUUUUCUGGAUGUGUCAGGUGCAUGGAUGACACAACGUAUUGCCAGCUAGAUAGAGAUCUUGGGUCUUCAAAAACUGUGUUCAUGGGACAUCGAAGGUGGCUUCGCGAUGAUGACUCAUGGAGAAAAUGCAAGGAUCUGUUCGAUGGUGAAACCGAACCGCGAAGACGCCCGCAUACGAGGAGCAGCGAAGAAAUAGACGAGCUGUUGAAAAAUUGGAAAGAGUGCCCGGAGCCGGGAGCCGCUGCUGAAGGUAUGGAAAAUGAGGCCUGUUUUCUGGGACUUGCCAUACUGGAAGAUCCUCCGUGUGCCUCACUGCCUUGAUGUCAUGCAUAUCACAAAGAAUGUGUGCGAGAGUCUGCUUGGUACCCUGCUCAACAUGCCAGAGAGGACCAAAGAUGGGCCGAAAACAAGGGCAGACUUGAAAUCAAUGGGCAUCAGGGAGGAGCUUCACGCUAAUGAUGAUGAUGAUGAUGAGGCGAAGGGCACGGAAAGUCGUCGCAAAGGCAAAAAGACCAAGAAGAUCAAAAAUGACUGCCCUCCCGCGUGCUUCACUCUAAGUCAGGAGGAGAUCGAGCAGUUUUUCACCUGCCUCGUAGGAGUAAAAAUUCCUUACGGUUAUGCGGGGAAGAUAACCAGAUACCUAGACUCAGCGAAGCAGAAGUUUAGCGGGAUGAAGUCUCACGACUGUCACAUGCUGAUGACGCAGAUACUUCUAGUUGCAAUCUGUGGGAUCAUGGACGCGCACUUUCAUGAACCGCUAUUUGGCCUAUGCAACUUUUUCGACGUCAUCUCUCGGAAGUUAGUUGGCGUGAGGCAACUCAGAAGGCUACAGGAAGAGAUCGUGGUGAUACUAUGCGAACUUGAGAUGUACUUCCCGCCCGCAUUCUUCGACGUUAUGGUGCACCUGCUGGUCCAUAUCGUGGAGGAUAUCAUCCAACUCGGGCCGAUGUUCCUGCACAGCAUGAUGCCGUUCGAAAGGAUGAAUGGUGUCAUUAAAGGAUACGUUCGCAACAUGUCACGUCCAGAGGGAAGCAUAGCCAAGGGCUUUUUGACCGAAGAGUGCAUCUCCUACUGCAUGAAUUAUCUAGGCAUCGAGAACUGAUACGUCUCCAACGUAUCUAUAAUUUUUGAUUGCUCCAUGCUACUUUAUCUACUGUUUUAGGAAAUAUUGGGCUUUAUCAUCCACUUUUAUAUUAUUUUUGGGACUAACCUAUUAACCGAAGGCCCAGCCCAGAUUUGUUGUUUUAUGCCUAUUUUAGUGUUUUAGGGAAAAGGAAUAUCAGACGAAGUCAAAACGGAACGAAAUCAACUGGAGAAGUUAUUUUGGGAAGGAAACCCACCUGAUGGACUUGGAGUGCACGUUAGGGGAGUCCCGGGCUACCCACGAGGGUGGGGGGCACGCCCCCCUGGAGGUCCACCGACGUACCCCUUGCACCCAUAUAUACCUACGUACCCUAAAACUUCCAGAAGAGAAGAUAGAUUGGGAGUUCUGCCGCCGCAAGCCUCUGUAGCCACCAAAAACCUCUCGGGAGCCUGUUCCGGCACCCUGCCGGAGGGGGAACCCAUCACCGGUGGCCAUCUUCAUCAUCCCGGCGCUAUCCAUGAAGAGGAGGGAGUAGUUCACCCUCGGGGCUGAGGGUAUGUACCAGCAGCUAUGUGUUUGAUCUCUCUCUCUCUCUCUCUCUCGUGUUCUCUCUCGUGUUACCUGUAUGGCACGAUCUUGAUGUAUCCCGAGCUUUGCUAUUGUAGUUGGAUCUUAUGAUGUUUCUCCCCCUCUACUCUCUUGUGAUGAAUUGAGUUUCCCCUUUGAAGUUAUCUUAUCGGAUUGAGUCUUUUAUGAGAACACUUGAUGUAUGUCUUGCGAUCUACUUGAUGUAUGUUUUGGUGAUCAACUUGCGGGUUUCGUGACAUUGGGAACCUAUGCAUAGGGGUUGGCACACGUUCUUGACUCUCCGGUAGUAGCUUUGGGGCACUCUUUGAAGUACUUUUAUGUUGGUUGGAUGAAUCUGAGAUUGUGUGACGCAUAUCGUAUAAUCAUGCCCACGGAUACUUGAGGUGACAAUGGAGUAUCUAGGUGACAUUAGGGUUUUGGUUGAUUUGUGUCUUAAGGUGUUAUUCUAGUACGAGCUCUUUUAUAGAUUGAUCCAAAAGAAUAACUUUGAGGUGGUUUCGUACCCUACCAUAAUCUCUACGUUUGUUCUCCGCUAUCAGUGGCUUUGGAGUGACUUUUUGUUUCAUGUUGAGGGCUUGUUAUAUGAUCUAUCUAUGUUAUUAUUGUUGAGAGAACUUGCACUAGUGAAAGUAUGAACCCUAGGCCUUGUUUCCUAUCAUUGCGAUACCGUUUACGCUCACUUUUACCGCUUGCUACCUUGCUGUUUUUAUUAUUUCAGAUUACAAAAACCUAUAUCUACUAUCUAUUUUGCACUUGUAUGACCAUCUCUUCGCCGAACUAGUGCACCUAUACAAUUUACCAUUGUAUUGGGUGUGUUGGGGACACAAGAGACUCUUUGUUAUUUGGUUGCAGGGUUGUUUGAGAGAGACCAUCUUCAUCCUACGCCUCCUACGGAUUGAUAAACCUUAGGUCAUCCACUUGAGGGAAAUUUGCUACUGUCCUACAAACCUGUGCACUUGCAGGCCCAACAACGUCUACAAGAAGAAGGUUGUGUAGUAGACAUCAAGCACUUUUCUGACGCAGUUGCCGGGGAGGUUAGCGCUUGAAGGUAUAUCUUUAGAUCUUGCAAUCGAAUCUUUUUGUUUCUUGUUUUAGCACUAGUUUAGUUUAUAAAAGAAAAUUACAAAAAAAUGGAGUUAAGUUUGUCACAUACGCUUCACCUUUUUAAUAUCUUUCGUGAGUAUGAUGGAAAGGAUAAUUGUGCUCAAGUGCUAGAAGAAGAAAUCUCUAAAUUGUUUGGCACUAAAUAUUUGAAUGAUGAUCAUGAUUGCAAUGUUGUUAGUAUGAAUUCUUUGAAUAUCCAUGAUACUAAUGAUAUGCAAAGCAACAAGCUUGGGGAAGCUAUGUUUGACGAAGAUGAUAUUUUUUGUCCCCGAAGCUUUGAUGAGCAAAAUUACUAUGAUGAAAGCAUGCCUCCUAUCUAUGAUGAUUAUUGUGAUGACACGUAUGCUUUAAAGAAUAAUGAUAACCAUGAAACUUGUCAUCUUGAUCUUAAUUUUCAAUCAUAUGAUAGUUAUUUUGUUGAGUUUGCUCCCACUAUUAUUCACGAGAAGAAUCUUGCUUAUGUGGAGAGUAGUAAAUUUUCUAUGCUAGUAGAUCAUGAAAAGAAUGCUUUAGGUGCUGGUUAUAUUGUUGAAUUCAUUCAUGAUGCUACUGAAAAUUAUUAUGAUGGAGGAACAUAUGCUUGUAGGAGUUGCAGUAAUGUCAAGUUUCCUCUCUAUGUGCUUAAAAUUUUGAAGUUAUGCUUGUUUUACCUCCCUAUGCUAGUUGAUUAUUGUUCCCAUAAGUUGUUUGCUCACAAAAUCCCUAUGCAUAGGAAGUGGGUUAGGCUUAAAUGUGCUAGUCAUAUGCUUCAUGAUGCUCCCAUUAUGUUUCAAUUCGUAUCUUUUAUGUGAGCAUCAUUGUCAUCAUCAUGCCUAGCUAGAAAGGCAUUAAAGAAAAGCGCUUGUUGGGAGACAACCCAAUAUUUAUCCUUACUGUGUUUGUGUGUCCACAUGAUUAUGCUACUGUAGUAAUCAUGUUUUAUAGCUUUUGUUUCAAUAAAGUGCCAAGUAGAACCUUUGGGAAGACUUGGGUGAAGUUUAUGUGAUCUUGCUGUGAAAAACAGAAACUUUAGCGCUCACGAGAUUAGCUGCCAUUUUUUAUUGGAGAGUGAUUUUAGGCUGAUUCUUUUUUGAAGAUGAUUAAUAGACAAAUUUCUCAGGUCCAGAAAUUUAUUUCAUAAUUUUUGGGGUUCCAGAAGUAUACGUUUGAUACAGAUUACUACAGACUGUUCUGUUUUUGACAGAUUCUGUUUUCAUUGUGUUGUUUGCUUAUUUUGAUGCAUCUAUGGCUAGUAUUAAGUGGUAUGAACCAUAGAGAAGUUGGAAUACAGUAGGUUUUACACCAAUAUGAAUCUUGAAUGAGUUCAUUACAGUACCUAAGUGGUGGUUUUAUUUUCUUAUACUAACGGAGCUUACGAGUUUUGUGUUGAGUUUUGUGUGGUUGAAGUUUUCAAGUUUUGGGUAAGGAUUCGAUGGACUAUGGAAUAAGGAGUGGAAAGAGCCUAAGCUUGGGGAUGCCCAAGGCACCCCAAGGUAAUAUUCAAGGACAACCAAGAGCCUAAGCUUGGGGAUGCCCCGGAAGGCAUCCCCUCUUUCGUCUUCGUUCAUCGGUAACUUUACUUGGAGCUAUAUUUUUAUUCACCACAUGAUAUGUGUUUUGCUUGGAGUGUCAUUUUAUUUUGUUAGUUUUUGCUUGAUGUUAGUUAGAUUAAUGUUUUGCAUCUUUAGUUUCAAUAAAAAAAGUCAAGGAUAGCAUUUGCCAUGCUUAUUUUGCUAGUAUACAUGUUUCUGUUUGAAAACAGAAAGUUUACCGCUGUUGCAAAAUUUCUCUAGAAAAGUCAGAGAACGGUAUAACGUUGAAUAUUUUUGAAUAUUACGCUCUGAUAAAUUUACUACAGUGGGAAUUUUAGUUCAUAAUUUUUGGAGUCAGGGAAGUAUUGUUACUCUUGCAUUCUUUACAGACUGUACUGUUUUGGCAGAUUGCUGUUAUGUUUGCAUUGUUUGCAUCUAUUUGCUUGUUUAAUGAUUCUAUUUGAGGAUAGGAGUAUUAAAUAUACAGAGGAAUUUAGUAUUCAAUGUUGAAUAAUAAUGUUAGUAAUUUGUUACAGUGGAAGAUGAUAAGGUUUUGCAUUGGUUUAUACUAACCUAUCUCAGAAGUUCUUGUUGAGUUUGUUGUGAAUGAAGCUUUUGAUAAAAAGAGAAACCGUGACAUGAAAGGAAUUAAGGAGACACAAAAGCUCAAGCUUGGGGAUGUCCAAGGCACCCCAAGAUAAUAUUUCAAUAAGUCUGAAGCAUCUAAGCUUGGGGAUGCCCCGGUAGGCAUCCCACCUUUCUUCUUCAACAAUCAUCGGUUAGUAUCGGUUGAGCCUAAGUUUUUGCUUCUUCACAUGAGUUGUGCUAUCCUUGCAAUGUCAUUUAUUUUGCUUUGCUUGCUGUUUGAAUAAGAUAUGAAGAUCUGAAAUUCUUUAUUGAGAGAGAGUCUUCGCAUAGUUGCAUAAUUAUUUAGCUACUCAUUGAUCUUCACUUAUAUCUUUCGGAGUAGUUUUUGUUAUUGCUCAUAGUGCUUCACUUAUAUCUUUUGAGCGUGAUAAUUUUUGCUCUAGUACUCCACUUAGAUCUUUUAGAGCACAGUGGUGGAUUUGUUUUAAAGAAACUAUUGAUCUCUCAUGCUUCACUUAGAUUAUUUUGAGAGCCGUUAAUAGCACGAUAAUUUGCUUAAAGUUAAUAUACUUGGUAUUCAAGAUAUGUGAAACUUUCUUUUGAGUGAAUUGAAUACUAAGAUAAGUUUGAUGCUUGAUAAUUGUUUUGAGAUAUGGAGGUGAUAGUAUCAAAGUCGUGCUAGUUGGGUGAUUAUGAAUUUGAGAAAUGCUUGUGUUGAAGUUUGCAAGUCCCGUAGCAUGCACGUAUGGUUAAAGUUGUGUAACAAAUUUGAAACAUGAAGUGUACCUGGCUUGUGCAUCCUUAUGAGUGGCGGUCGGGGACGAGCGAUGGUCUUUUCCUACCAAUCUAUCCCCCUAGGAGCAUGCGCGUAAUACUUGAUUUUUGAUGACUUCUAAAUUUUUACAAUAAGUAUAUGAGUUCUUUUGACUAAUGUUGAGUCCAUGGAUUAUACGCACUCUCACCUUUCCGCCUUUGCUAGCCUCUCUAAUACCGCGCACUUUUCGCCGGUAUCAUACACCCACCAUAUACCUUCCUAAAAACAGCCACCAUACCUACCUAUUAUAGCAUUUCCAUAGCCAUUCCGAGAUAUAUUGCCAUGCAACUUUCCACCAUUCCGUUUAUUAUGACACGCUCCAUCAUUGUCAUAUUGCUUUUUUGCAUGAACAUGUAGUUGACAUUGUAUUUGUGGCAAGGCCACCUUCAUAAUUUUCAUACAUGUCGCUCUUGAUUCAUUGCAUAUCCCGGUACACCGCCGGAGGCAUUCAUAUAGAGUCAUAUUUGUUCUAAGUAUCGAGUUGUAAUUGUUGAGUUAUAAGAAAAAUAAAAGUGUGAUGAUCAUCACUACUAGAGCAUUGUCCCAGUGAGGAAAGGAUGAUGGAGACUAUGAUUCCCCCAUAAGUCGGGAUGAGACUCCGGACGAAAAAAAAGAGUGGCCAUAAAGAAAAGAAGAGAAAAGGCCCAAAUAAAAAAAUGAUGAGAGAAAAAGAGAGAAGGGACAAUGCUACUAUCCUUUUACCACACUUGUGCUUCAAAGUAGCACCAUGAUCUUCAUAAUGGAGAGUCUCAUAUGUUGUCACUUUCAUAUACUAGUGGGAAUUUUUCAUUAUAGAACUUGGCUUGUAUAUUACAAUGAUGGGCUUCCUCAAAAGUGCCAGAGGUCUUCGUGAGCAAGCAAGUUGGAUGCACACCCACUUAGUUUCUUUUGCUGAGCUUUCAUAUACUUAUAGCUCUAGUGCAUCCGUUGCAUGGCAAUCCCUACUCACUCACAUUGAUAUCUAUUGAUGGGCAUCUCCAUAGCCUGUUGAUACGCCUAGUUGAUGUGAGACUAUCUUCUUCUUUUUGUCUUCUCCACACAAUCCCCAUCAUCAUAUUCUAUUCCACCCAUAGUGCUAUAUCCAUGGCUCACGCUCAUGUAUUGCGUGAAGGUUGAAAAAGUUUGAGAUUAUUUAAGUAUGAAACAAUUGCUUGGCUUGUCAUCGGGGGUAUAGAAGUUGGGAACAACUUUGUGUGAUGAAGAUGGAGCAUAGUCAGACUAUAUGAUUUUGUAGGGACAACUUUCUUUGGCCAUGUUAUUUUGAGAAGACAUAAUUGCUUAGUUAGUAUGCUUGAAGUAUUAUUAUUUUUAUGUCAAUAUGAACUUUUGUCUUGAAUCUUUCGGAUCUGAAUAUUCAUGCUACAAUUAAGAAGAUUUACAUUGAAAUUAUGCCAAAGUAUCACUCCACAUCAAAAAUUCUCUUUUUAUCAUCUACCUACUCGAGGACGAGCAGGAAUUAAGCUUGGGGAUGCUUGAUACAUCUCCAAUGUAUCUAUAAUUUUUGAUUGCUCCAUGCUACUUUAUCUACUGUUUUAGGCAAUAUUGGGCUUUAUCAUCCACUUUUAUAUUAUUUUUGGGACUAACCUAUUAACCGGAGGCCCAGCCCAGAUUUGCUGUUUUAUGCCUAUUUCAGUGUUACAAGGAAAAGGAAUAUCAGACGAAGUCAAAACGGAACAAAAUCAACUAGAGAAGUUAUUUUUGGAAGGAAACCCACCUGAUGGACUUGGAGUGCACGUCAGGGGAGUCUCGGGCUGCCCACGAGGGUGGGGGGUGCGCCACCCCCUGGGCGCGCCCCCUGCCUCAUGAGCACCCCGGAGGUCCACCGACGUACCCCUUGCACCCAUAUAUACCCACGUACCCUAAAACUUCCAGAAGACAAGAUAGAUCGGGAGUUCCGCUUCCGCAAGCCUCUGUAGCCACCAAAAACCACUCGGGAGCCUGUUCUGGCACCCUGCCAGAGGGGGAACCCAUCACCGGUGGCCAUCUUCAUCAUCCCGGCGCUAUCCAUGACGAGGAGGGAGUAGUUCACCCUCGGGGCUGAGGGUAUGUACCAGUAGCUAUGUGUUUGAUCUCUCUCUCUCUCUCGUGUUCUCUCUCGUGUUCCCUCUAUGGCACGAUCUUGAUGUAUCCCGAGCUUUGCUAUUGUAGUUGGAUCUUAUGAUGUUUCUGUUUGAAAUAUGCCCUAGAGGCAAUAAUAAAUUAAUUAUUAUUAUAUUUCCUUGUUCAUGAUAAUCGUUUAUUAUCCAUGCUAUAAUUGUAUUAACAGGAAACUCAGAUACAUGUGUGGGUACAUAGACAACACCAUGUCCCUAGUAAGCCUCUAGUUGACUAGCUCGUUGAUCAAUAGAUGGUUACGGUUUCCUGACCAUGGACAUUGGAUGUCGUUGAUAACGGGAUCACAUCAUUAGGAGAAUGAUGUGAUGGACAAGACCCAAUCCUAAGCCUAGCACAGAGAUCGUGUAGUUCGUAUGCUAAAGCUUUUCUAAUGUCAAGUAUCUUUUCCUUAGACCAUGAGAUUGUGAAACUCCCGGAUACCGUAGGAAUGCUUUGGGUGUACCAAACGUCACAACGUAACUGGGUGGCUAUAAAGGUGCACUACAGGUAUCUCUGAAAGUGUCUGUUGGGUUGGCACGAAUCGAGACUGGGAUUUGUCACUCCGUGUGACGGAGAGGUAUCUCUGGGCCCACUCGGUAGGACAUCAUCAUAAUGUGCACAAUGUGAUCAAAGUGUUGAUCGCGGGAUGAUGUGUUACGAAACGAGUAAAGAGACUUGCCGGUAACGAGAUUGAACAAGGUAUCGGUAUACCGACGAUCGAAUCUCAGGCAAGUACAAUACCGUUAGACAAAGGGAAUUGUAUACGGGAUCGAUUGAGUCCUUGACAUCGUGGUUCAUCCGAUGAGAUCAUCGUGGAACAUGUGGGAGCCAACAUGGGUAUCCAGAUCCCGCUGUUGGUUAUUGACCGGAGAACGUCUCGGUCAUGUCUGCAUGGUUCCCGAACCCGUAGGGUCUACACACUUAAGGUUCGAUCACGCUAGGGUUAUAAAGGAAGUUUGUAUGUGGUUACCAAAUGUUGUUCGGAUUCCCGGAUGAUAUCCCGGACGUCACGAGGAGUUCCGAAAUGGUCCGGAGGUAAAGAUUUAUAUAUGGGAAGUCCUGUUUUGGUCACUGGAAAAGUUUUGGGUUUUAUCGGUAAUGUACCGGGACCACCGGGAGGGUCCCGGGGGUCCACCAAGUGGGGACACCAACCCCGGAGGGCUGCUCGUUCCGUAAUACAUCAUCUCACAACUAACAUAUUAGUUGCAGUGCUUGCAAGGCUUAUGUGAUGUGCAUUACCGAGAGGGCCCAGAGAUACCUCUCCGACAAUCGGAGUGACAAAUCCUAAUCUUGAAAUACGCCAACCCAACAUCGACCAUUGGAGACACCUGUAGUACUCCUUUAUAAUCACCCAUUUACGUUGUGACGUUUGGUAAUACCCAAAGUGUUCCUCCGGUAAACGGGAGUUGCAUAAUCUCAUAGUCAUAGGAACAUGUAUAAGUCAUGAAGAAAGCAAUAGCAACAUACUAAACGAUCAGGUGCUAAGCUAAUGGAAUGGGUCAUGUCAAUCAGAUCAUUCUACUAAUGAUGUGACCUCGUUAAUCAAAUAACAACUCAUUGUUCAUGGUUAGGAAACAUAACCAUCUUUGAUUAACGAGCUAGUCAAGUAGAGGCAUACUAGUGACACUCUGUUUGUCUAUGUAUUCACACAUGUAUUAUGUUUCCGGUUAAUACAAUUCUAGCAUGAAUAAUAAACAUUUAUCAUGAUAUAAGGAAAUAAAUAAUAACUUUAUUAUUGCCUCUAGGGCAUAUUUCCUUCAGUCUCCCACUUGCACUAGAGUCAAUAAUCUAGUUCACAUCGCCAUGUGAUUUAACAGCAAUAGUUCAUAUCACCAUGUGAUUAACACCCAUAGUUCACAUCGCUAUGUAACCAACACCCAAAGGGUUUACUAGAUUCAGUAAUCUAGUUUACAUCGCUAUGUGAUUAAAACCCAAAGAGUACUAAGGUGUGAUCAUGUUUUGCUCGUGAGAGAAGCUUAGUCAACGGGUCUGUCAUAUUCAGAGCCGUAUGUAUUUUGCAAAUAUCCUAUGUCUACAAUGCUCUGUGCGGAGCUACUCUAGCUAAUUGCUCCCACUUUCAAUAUGUAUCCAGAUUGAGACUUAGAGUCAUCUGGAUCAGUGUAAAAGUUUGCACUGAUGUAACUUUUACAACAAACUCUUUUAUCACCUCCAUAAUCGAGAAACAUCUCCUUAGUCCUUACUAAGGAUAUUCUUGACCAAUGUCCAGUGAUCUACUCCUAGAUCACUAUUGUACUCCCUUGCCAAAUACAGAGCAAGGUAUACAAUAGGUCUGGUACAUAGCAUAGCAUACUUUAUAGAACCUAUGACUGAGGCAUAGGGAAUGACUUUUCAUUCUCUUUCUAUUUUCUGCUGUGAUCGGGAUUUGAGUCUUACUCAAUUUCAUACCUUUGCAACACAGGCAAGAACUCUUUCUUUAACUGUUCCAUUUUGAACUAUUUCAAAAUCUUGCCAAGGUAUGUAGUCAUUGAAAAUCUUAUCAAGUGUCUUGAUCUAUCUCAAUAGAUCUUGAUUCUCAAUAUAUAAGUAGCUUUUACUGAGGUCUUUUCUUGAAAAACUUUUAUUCAAGUAUCCCUUUAUGCUAUCCAGAAAUUCUAUAUCAUUUCCAAUCAAUAAUAUGUCAUCCACAUAUAAUAUCAGAAAUGCUACAGAGCUCCCACUCACUUUCUUGUAAAUACAGGCUUCUCCAAAAGUCUGUAUAAAACCAAAUGCUUUGAUCACACUAUCAAAACGUUUAUUCCAACUCUGAGAGGCUUACACCAGUCCAUAAAUGGAUCGCUGGAGCUUGCACACUUUGUUAGCUCCCUUUGGAUUGACAAAACCUUCUGGUUGCAUCAUAUACAACUCUUCUUUAAUAAAUCCAUUAAGGAAUGCAAUUUUGUUUAUCCAUUUGCCAGAUUUCAUAAAAUGCGGCAAUUGCUAACAUGAUUCGGACAGACUUUUAAGCAUCGAUACGAGCAAGAAAAUCUCAUCGUAUUCAACACCUUGAACUUUGUCAAAAACCUUUUUCGACAAGUCUAGCUUUGUAGAUAGUAACACUUCUAUCAACGUCUGUCUUCCUCUUGAAGAUCCAUUUAUUCUUAAUGACUCACCGAUCAUCGGGCAAGUCAAUCAAAGUCUACACUUUGUUCUCAUACAUGGAUCAUAUCUCAGAUUUCAUGGCUUCUAGCCACUUUGCGGAAUCUGGGCUCACCAUCGCUUCUUCAUAGUUCGUAGGUUCAUCAUGAUCUAGUAGCAUGACCUCCAGAAUAGGAUUACCGUACCACUCUGGUGCGGAUCUUACUCUGGUUGAUCUACGAAGUUCAGUAGUAUCUUGAUCUGAAGUUUCAUGAUCAUUAUCAUUGGCUUCCUCACUGACUGGUGUAGAUGUCACUGAAACAGUUUUCUGUGAUGAACUACUUUCUAGUAAGGGAGCAGGUACAGUUACCUCGUCAAGUUCUACUUUCCUCCCACUCACUUCUUUCGAGAGAAACUCCUUCUCCAGAAAGUUUCCGAAUUUAGCAACAAAAGUCUUGCCUUUCGGAUCUGUGAUAGAAGGUGUAUCCAAUAGUUUCCUUUGGAUAUCCUAUGAAGACGCACUUCUCCGAUUUGAGUUUGAGCUUAUCAGGAUGAAACUUUUUCAUAUAAGCAUCGCAACCCCAAAUUUAAGAAACGACAACUUUGGUUUCUUGCUAAACCACAGUUCAUAAGGCGUCGUCUCAACGGAUUUUGAUGGUGCCCUAUUUUAAAACGUGAAUGCAGCUGUCUCUAAUGCAUAACCCCAAAACGAUAGUGGUAAAGAGAUAUCAUAGAUCGCACCAUAUCAAAUAAAGUGCGGUUACGACGUUCGGACACACCAUAACGAUGUGGUGUUCCAGGUGGCGUGAGCUGUGAAACUAUUCCACAUUGUUUUAAUUGAAGACCAAACUCGUAACUCAAAUAUUUGUCUCCGCGAUCAGAUCGCAGAAACUUUAUUUUCUUGUUACGAUGAUUUUUCCACUUCACUCUGAAAUUCUUUGAACCUUUCAACUAUUUCAGACUUAUGUUUCAUCAAGUAGAUAUACCCAUAUCUGCUCAAAUCAUCUUGUGAAGGUCAGAAAACAACGAUGCUUGCCACGAGCAACAGCACUCAUUGGAUCGCAUACAUCGGUAUGUAUUAUUUCCAACAAGUCAGUAACUCGUUCCAUUGUUCCGAAGAACGGAGUUUUAGUCAUCUUACCCAAAAGGCACGGUUCGCAAGCAUCAAAUGAUUCAUAACCAAGUGAUUCCGAAAAUCCAUCUUUAUGGAGUUUCUUCAUGCGCUUUACACCGAUAUGACCCAAACGGCAGUGCCACAAAUAAGUUGCACUAUCAUUAUUAACUUUGCAUCUUUUGGCAUCAAUAUUAUGAAUAUGUGUAUCACUACGAUCGAGAUCCAAUGAACCAUUUUCAUUGGGUGUGUAACCAUAUAAGGUUUUAUUCAUGUAAAUAGAACAACAGUUUAUUCUCUUACUUAAAUGAAUAACCGUAUUGCAAUAAACAUGAUCAAAUCAUAUUCAUGCUCAACGCAAACACCAAAUAACAUUUAUUUAGGUUCAACACUAAUCCCGAAAGAAUAGGGAGUGUGCGAUGAUGAUCAUAUCAAUCUUGAAACUACUUUCAACACACAUCAUCACUUCACCCUUAACUAGUUUCUGUUUAUUCUGCAACUCCCGUUUCGAGUUACUACUCUUAGCAACUGAACCAGUACCAAAUACCGAGGGGUUGCUAUAAACACUAGUAAAGCACACAUCAAACACUUGUAUAUCAAAUAUACCCUUUUUCACUUUGCCAUCCUUCUUAUCCACCAAAUAUUUAGGGUAGUUCUGCUUCCAGUGACCAUUUCCUUUGCAGUGUAAGCACUCAGUUUCAGGCUUUGGUUCAGCUUUGGGCUUCUUCGUGGGAGUGACAACUUGCUUGUCAAUCUACUUGAAGUUCCCCUUUCUUUCCCUUUGCCCUUUUCUUGAAACUAGUGAUCUUGUCAACCAUCAACACUUGAUGCUCUUUCUUGAUUUCUACCUUCGUUGAUUUCAACAUCACGAAGAGCUCGGGAAUCAUUUUCAUCAUCCCUUGCAUACUAUAGUUCAUCACGAAGUUCUACUAACUUGGUGAUGGUGACUAGAGAAUUCUGUCAAUCACUAUCUUAUCUGGAAGAUUAACUCCCACUGAAUUCAAGCGAUUGAAGUACCCAGACAAUCUGAGCACAUGCUCACUAGUUGAGCGAUUCUCGUCCAUCUUUUAGCUAUAGAACUUGUUGGAGACUUCAUAUCUCUCAACUCGGGUAUUUGCUUGAAAUAUUAACUUCAAUUCCUGGAACAUCUCAUAUGGUCCAUGACGUUCAAAACGUCUUUGAAGUCCCGAUUCUAAGCCGUUAAGCAUGGUGCACUAAACUAUCAAGUAGUCAUCAUAUUGAGCUAGCCAGACGUUCAUAACUUCUGCAUCUGCUCCUGCAAUAGGUCUGUCACCUAGCGGUGCAUUAAGGACAUAAUUCUUCUGUGCAGCAAUGAGGAUUUAACCUCAGAUCACGGAUCAAAUCCGCAACAUUGCUACUAACAUUUUUCAACACAAUUUUCUCUAGGAACAUAUCAAAAUAAACACAGGGAAGCAACAACGCGAGCUAUUGAUCUACAACAUGAUUUGCAAAAUACUACCAGGACUAAGUUCAUGAUAAAUUUAAGUUCAAUUUAAUUAUAUAACUUAAGAACUCCCACUUAGAUAGACAUCCCUCUAAUCCUCUAAGUGAUCACGCGAUCCAAAUCAACUAAACCAUGUCCGAUCAUCACGUGAGAUGGAGUAGUUUCAUCGGUGAACAUCAUUAUGUUGAUCAUAUCUACUAUAUGAUUCACGCUCGACCUUUCGGUCUCCGUGUUCCGAGGCCAUAUCUGCAUAUGCUAGGCUCGUCAAGUUUAACCUGAGUAUUCUGCGUGCGCAACUGUUUUGCACCCGUUGUAUUUGAACGUAGAGCCUAUCACACCCGAUCAUCACGUGGUGUCUCAGCACGAAGAACUUUUGCAACGGUGCAUACUCAGGGAGAACACUUCUUGAUAAUUUAGUGAGAGAUCAUCUUAUAAUGCUACCGUCAAUCAAAGCAAGAUAAGAUGCAUAAAAAGAUAAACAUCACAUGCAAUCAAUAUAAGUGAUAUGAUAUGGCCAUCAUUAUCUUGUGCUUGUGAUCUCCAUCUCUGAAGCACCGUCAUGAUCACCAUCGUCACCGGCGCGACACCUUGAUCUCCAUCGUAGCAUCGUUGUCGUCUCGCCAAUCUUAUGCUUCCACGACUAUCACUACCGUUUAGUAAUAAAGUAAAGCAUUACAUCGCGAUUGCAUUGCAUACAAUAAAGCGACAACCAUAUGGCUCCUGCCAGUUGUCGAUAACUUGGUUACAAAACAUGAUCAUCUCAUACAAUAAAAUUCAGCAUCAUGCCUUGACCAUAUCACAUCACAACAUGCCCUGCAAAAACAAGUUAGACGUCCUCUACUUUGUUGUUGCAUGUUUUACGUGGCUGCUACGGGCUUAAGUAAGAACCAAUCUCACCUACGCAUCAAAACCACAACGAUAGUUUGUCAAAUAGACUCCGUUUUAACCUUCGCAAGGACCGGGCGUAGCCAUACUUGGUUCAACUAAAGUUGGAGAGGCAGUCGCCCGCAAGCCAUCUCUGUGCAAAGCACGUCGAGGGAACCGGUCUCGCGUAAGCGUACGCGUAAGGUUGGUCCGGGUCGUCUCGUCCAACAAUACCGCCAAACCAAAGUAUGACAUGCUGGUAGGCAGUAUGACUUGUAUCGUCCACAACUCACUUGUGUUCUACUCGUGCAUAUAACAUCAACAUAAAUAACCUAGGCUCUGAUACCACUGUUGGGUUUCGUGGAAAUUUCAAAAAAUUUCCUACGCGCACACAGGAUCAUGUGAUGCAUAGCAACGAGGGGAGAGUGUUGUCUACGUACCCAACGCAGACCGACUGCGGAAGCGAUGACACGACGUAGAGGAAGUAGUCGUACGUCUUCACGAUCCAACCGAUCAAGCACCGAAACUACGGCACCUCCGAGUUCGAGCACACGUUCAGCUCGAUGACGAUCCCCGGACUCCGAUCCAGCAAAGUGUCGGGGAAGAGUUCCGUUAGCACAACGGCGUGGUGACGAUCUUGAUGAACUACAGCAGCAGGGCUUCGCCUAAACUCCGCUACAGUAUUAUCGAGGAAUAUGGUGGCAGGGGGCACCGCACACGGCUAAGGAAUCGAUCACGUGGAUCAACUUGUGUCAACUUGUGUGUUUAGAGGUGCCCCUGCCUCCGUAUAUAAAGGAUGGAGGAGGAGGAGGCCGGCCAAGGCAAAGGUGCGGCCAGGAUAGGGAGUCCUACUAGGACUCCAAGUCCUAGUAGGAGUCCACCAAGAGGGGAGGAAGGGAGAAGGAAUAGGAGGAGAAGGAGAGGUGGCCGGCCCCUUUUUCCCUAGUCCAAUUCGGACCAAAGGGGAGGGGGGGCGCAGCAGCCUUUUUCCUCUUCCCACUAAAGCCCAUCAAGGCCCAUUACUUCUCCCGUAACUACCCGGUACUCCGAAAAAUACCCGAAUCACUCGGAACCUUUCCGAUGUCCGAAUAUAGUCGUCCAGUAUAUCGAUCUUUACGUCUCGACCAUUUCGAGACUCCUCGUCAUGUCCCCGAUCUCAUCCGGGACUCCGAACUCCUUCGGUACAUCAAAAUGCAUAAACUCAUAAUAUAACUGUCAUCGUAACCUUAAGCGUGCGGACCCUACGGGUUCGAGAACAAUGUAGACAUGACCGAGACAUGUCUCCGGUCAAUAACCAAUAGCGGGACCUGGAUGCCCAUAUUGGCUCCUACAUAUUCUACGAAGAUCUUUAUCGGUCAGACCGCAUAACAACAUACGUUGUUCCCUUUGUCAUCGGUAUGUUACUUGCCCGAGAUUUGAUCGUCGGUAUCCAAUACCUAGUUCAAUCUCGUUACCGGCAAGUCUCUUUAAUCGUUCCGUAAUACAUCAUCUCACAACUAACAUAUUAGUUGCAGUGCUUGCAAGGCUUAUGUGAUGUGCAUUACCGAGAGGGCCCAGAGAUACCUCUCCGACAAUCGGAGUGACAAAUCCUAAUCUCGAAAUACGCCAACCCAACAUCGACCAUUGGAGACACCUGUAGUACUCCUUUAUAAUCACCCAUUUACGUUGUGACGUUUGGUAGUACCCAAAGUGUUCCUCCGGUAAACGGGAGUUGCAUAAUCUCAUAGUCAUAGGAACAUGUAUAAGUCAUGAAGAAAGCAAUAGCAACAUACUAAACGAUCAGGUGCUAAGCUAAUGGAAUGGGUCAUGUCAAUCAGAUCAUUCUACUAAUGAUGUGACCUCGUUAAUCAAAUAACAACUCAUUGUUCAUGGUUAGGAAACAUAACCAUCUUUGAUUAACGAGCUAGUCAAGUAGAGGCAUACUAGUGACACUCUGUUUGUCUAUGUAUUCACACAUGUAUUAUGUUUCCGGUUAAUACAAUUCUAGCAUGAAUAAUAAACAUUUAUCAUGAUAUAAGGAAAUAAAUAAUAACUUUAUUAUUGCCUCUAGGGAAUAUUUCCUUCAAGAUCUUGGUGACACGUAGGAAAAUUUUGAAUUUCUGCUACGUUCCCCAACAGUGGUAUCAGAGCCAGGUCUAUUGCGUAGAUUCUUUGCACGAGUAGAACACAAAGUAGUUGUGGGCGUUGAUUUUGUUCAAUAUGCUUAUCGUUACUAGUCCAAUCUUGUUUCGACGAUAUUGUGGGAUGAAGCGGCCCGGACCGACCUUACACGUACUCUUACGUGAGAUAGGUUCCACCGACUGACAUGCACUUGGUGCAUAAGGUGGCUAGCGGGUGCCAGUCUCUCCCACUUUAGUUGGAACGGAUUGAUGAAAAGGGUCCUUAUGAAGGGUAAAUAGCAAUUGGCAUAUCACGUUGUGGUUUUGCGUAGGUAAGAAACGUUCUUGCUAGAAACCCAUAGCAGCCACGUAAAACAUGCAAACAACAAUUAGAGGACGUCUAACUUGUUUUUGUAGGGUAUGCUAUGUGAUGUGAUAUGGCCAAGAAGAAUGUGAUGAAUGAUAUGUGAUGUAUGAGAUUGAUCAUGUUCUUGUAAUAGGAAUCACGACUUGCAUGUCGAUGAAUAUGACAACCGGUAGGAGCCAUAGGAGUUGUCUUUAUUUAUUGUAUGACCUGCGUGUCAUUGAACAACGCCAUGUAAUUACUUUACUUUAUUGCUAACCGGUAGCCAUAGUAGUAGAAGUAAUUAGUUGGCAAGAAAACUUCAUGAAGACACGAUGAUGGAGAUCAUGAUGAUGGAGAUCAUGGUGUCAUGCCGGUGACGAUGAUGAUCAUGGAGCCCCGAAGAUGGAGAUCAAAAGGAGCAAAAUGUUAUUGGCCAUAUCAUGUCACUAUUUGAUUGCAUGUGAUGUUUAUCAUGUUUAUGCAUCUUAUUUGCUUAGAACGACGAUAGUAAAUAAGAUGAUCCCUCAUUAAAAUUUCAAGAAAGUGUCCCCCCUAACUAUGCACCAUUGCGAAAGUUAGUCAUUUCGAAGCACCACGUGAUGAUCGGGUGUGAUAGAUUCUUACGUUCACAUACAACGGGUGUAAGCCAGAUUUACACACGCGAAACACUUAGGUUAACUUGACGAGCCUAGCAUGUACAGACAUGGCCUCGGAACACAAGAGACCGAAAGGUCGAGCAUGAGUCGUAUAGUAGAUACGAUCAACAUGAAGAUGUUCACCGAUGAUGACUAGUCCGUCUCACGUGAUGAUCGGACACGGCCUAGUUGACUCGGAUCAUGUAAUCACUUAGAUGACUAGAGGGAUGUCUAUCUGAGUGGGAGUUCAUGAGAUGAACUUAAUUAUCCUGAACAUAGUCAAAAGAUCUUUGCAAAUUAUGUCGUAAGCUCGCGCUUUAGUUCCACUGUUUAGAUAUGUUCCUAGAGAAAAUAUAGUUGAAAGUUGACAGUAGCGAUUAUGCGAUCAGUAGAAAGAUAUGUCCUUAAUGCACCGCUCAAUGUGCAGAACCCCAAAACGUCGUCUGUGGAUGUUGCAAACAUCGAACAUACACGUUUUGAUAACUACGUGAUAGUUCAGUUAAACGGUUUAGAGUAGAGGCACCAAAGACGUUUUCAAAAUGUCGCGGAACAUAUGAGAUGUUUCGAGGGCUGAAAUUGGGAUUUCAGGCUCGUGCCCACGUCAAGAGGUAUGAGACCUCCGACGAAUUUCUUAGCCUACAAACUAAGGGAGAAAGCUCAAUUGAUGAGCUUGUGCUCAGAUUGUCUGAGUGCAAUAAUCACUUGAAUCGAGUGGGAGUUGAUCUUCCAGAUGAGAUAGUGAUGUUUCUCCAAAGUCAUUGCCACCAAGCUGCUAGAGCUUCGUGAUGAACUAUAACAUAUCAGGGAUACAUAUGAUGAUCCUUGAGGUAUUCACGAUGUUUGACACCGCGAAAGUAGAAAUCAAGAAGGACCAUCAAUUGUUGAUGGUUGGUGAAACCACUAGUUUCAAGAAGGUCAAGGGCAAGAAGGGAUACUUCAUGAAAUGGCAAAUAAGUUGCUGCUCUAGUGAAGAAACCCAAGGUUGAACCCAAACCCGAGACUAAGUGCUUCUGUAAUAAGGGGAACAACCACUGGAGCAGCAUUACCCUAGAUACUUGGUAGAUGAGAAGGCUGGCAAGGUCGAUAGAAGUAUAUUGGAUAUACAUUAUGUUAAGGUGUACUUUACUAUUACUCCUAGUAGCACCAGGGUAUUAAGAUACCGGUUCGGUUGCUAAGUGUUAGUAACUUGAAAUAAAAUAGCUACGGAAUAAACGGAGACUAGCUAAAGGAGAGCUGACGAUAUGUGUUGGAAGUGUUUCCAAUUUUGAUGUGAUCAAACAUCGCACGCUCCCUCUACCAUCAAGAUUAGUAUUAAACCUGAAUAAUUGUCAUUUGGUGUUUGCGUUGAGCAUAGACAUGAUUGGAUUAUGUCUAUCGCAAUACGGUUAUUCAUUUAAGGAGAAUAAUGGUUACUCUGUUUAUUUGAAUAAUACCUUCAAUGGUAUUGCACCUAAUAGGAAUGGUUUAUUGAAUCUCGAUCGUAGUGAUACACAUUUUCAUGCCAAAAGAUAUAAGAUAGUAAUGAUAGUACCACUUACUUGUGGCACUGCCAUGUAAGUCAUAUUGGUGUAAAACGCAUGAAGGAGCUCCAUGUUGAUGGAUCUUUGGACUCACUCAUUUUUGAAAAGUUUGAGACAUGCAAACCAUGUCUAUUGGUGUAUACGCAUGAAGAAACUCCAUGCAGAUGGAUUGUUUGGACUCACUUGAUUUUGAAUCACUUGAGAUAUGCAAAUCAUACCACAUGGCCAAGAUGACUGAAAAGCCUCGUUUUCAGUAAGAUGGAACAAGAUAGCAACUUGUUGGAAGUAACACAUUUUGAUGUGUGUAGUCCAAUGAGUGCUGAGGCAUGCAGUGAAUAUCAUUAUGUUCUUACUUCACAGAUGAUUCGAGUAGAUGUUGAGUAUAUUUACUUGAUGAAACAGAAGUCUGAAUUAUUGAAUGGUUCAAGUAAUUUCAGAGUGAAGUUGAAGGUCAUUGUGACAAGAGGAUAAAAUGUCUAUGAUAUGAUCAUAGAGAUGAGUAUCUGAGUUACGAGCUUUGGCACACAAUUAAGACAUUGUGGAAAUUGUUUCACAAUUAAUACCGCCUGGAACACCAUAGUGUGAUGGUGUGUCCGAACAUCAUAGUUGCACCCUAUUGGAUAUGGUGCGUACCAUGAUGUCUCUUAUCGAAUUACCACUAUCGUUCAUGGGUUAGGCAUUAGAGACAACCACACUCACUUUAAUAGGGCACCACGUAAUUCCGUUGAGACGACACCGUUUGAACUAUGGUUUGGAGAAACCUAAGUUGUUGUUUCUUGAAAGUUUGGGGCUGCGACGCUUAUGUGAAAAGGUUUCAUCGUUAUAAGCUCGAACUCAAAACGGAUAAAUACAUCUUCAUAGGAUACCCAAAAUGGUUGGGUAUACCUCCUAUCUCAAAUCCGGAAGCAAAAGUAAUUGUUUCUAGAAAUGGGUCCUUUCUCGGGGAAAAGUUUCUCUCGAAAGAAUUGAGUGGGAGGAUGGUGGAGACUUGAUGAGGUUAUUGAACCAUCACUUCAACCAGUGUGUAGCAGGGCACAGAAAGUUGUUCAUGUGGCACCUACACCAAUUGAAGUAGAAGCUUAUGAUAGUGAUCAUGAAGUUUUGGAUCAAGUCACUACCGCACCUCGUAGGGUGACAGGGAUGUGUACUACUUCAGAGUGGUACAGUAAUCCUGUCUUAGAGGUCAUGUUGCUAGACAACAAUGAACCUACGAGCUAUGGAGAAGCGAUGGUGGGCCUGGAUUCCGACAAAUGGCUAGAGGCCAUAAAAUCCGAGAGAGGAUCCAUGACUUUGGAAGAAAUACUUGAUGGUCGUAAGGCCGUUGGGUAAAGAUGGAUUUUAAAAGGAAGACAGACAAUGAUGGUAAGAAUCACCAUUAAGAAAGCUCGACUUGUCGUUAAGAUGUUUUCCGACAAGUUCAAGGAGUUGACUACGAUGAGAUUUUCUCAUCCGUAGCGAUGCUUAAGUCCGUCGGAAUCAUGUUAGCAUUAGCUGCAUUUAUGAAAUCUGGCAGAUGGAUGUCAAGACGAGUUUCCUUACCAGUUUUCGUAAGGAAAGGUUGUAUGUGAUACAAUCAGAAAAGUUCUGUCGAUCCUAAGGAUGCUAAAAGGUAUGCUCGCUCCAGCGAUCCUUCUAAGGACUGGAGUAAGCAUCUCGGAGUUGGAAUGUGCGCUUUGAUGAGAUGAUCAAAGAUUUUGGGUUUAUACAAAGUUCAUGAGAAACUUGUAUUUCCAAAGAAGUGAGUGGGAGCACUAUAGAAUUUCUGAUGAGUAUAUGUUGUUGACGUAUUGUUGAUCAGAAAUGAUGUAGAAUUUCUGGAAAGCAUAUAGGGUUAUUUGAAAGGUGUUUUUCAAUAGAAAACCUGGAUUAAGCUACUUGAACAUUGAGCAUCAAGAUCUAUGAGGAUAGAUCAAAAAAUGCUAAAUGGUACUUUCAAAUGAGCACAUACCUUGACGUGAUCUUGGAGGUGUUCAUGAUGGAUCAGUCAAAGAAGGAGUUCUUGCCUGAGAUGUGAGGUACGAAGUUAAGACUUAAAGCUCGACCACGGCAGAAUAGAGAGAAAGGACGAAGGUCGUCCCCUAUGCUUUAGACGUAGGCUCUACAGUAUGCUAUGCUGUGUACCGCACCUGAUGUGUGCCUUGCUACAUAUUUGGCAAGAGGGUACAAAGGUGAUCAAGGAGUGGAUCACCAGAUAGCGGUCAAAAUUAUCCUUAGAGUAAUAAGGAUAUGUUUCUCGAUUAUGGAGGUGAUAAAGAGUUCGACGUAAAGGGUUACGUCGAUGCAAGCUUUAACACCUAUUCGAAUGACUUUGAGUAGCAAACUGGAUACGUAUAGUGGAGCAACCAUUUGGAAUAGCUCCAAGUGGAGCGUGGAAGCAACAUUUACAAUAUGACCUAAAGAUUUGCGAAGUACAUACGAAUCUAAAUGUUGCAGACCCAUUGACAAAAACCUCUCUCACAAGCAAAACAUGAUCAAACCCCAGAACUCAUUGAGUCUUAAUCACAUGGUGAUGUGAACUAGUUUAGUGACACUAGUAAACUCUUUGGAUGUUGGUCACAUGGCGAUGUGACCUGAGUGUUAAUCACAUGGCGAUGUGAACUAGAUUAUUGACUCUAGUGCAAGUGGGAGACUGUUGGAAAUAUGCCCUAGAGGCAAUAAUAAAUUAGUUAUUAUUAUAUUUCCUUGUUCAUGAUAAUCGUUUAUUAUCCUACCUAAAGAACGUCCGUUCAAGAGAAGAACUCCAUUUGCGAAAAAGAAGGGCAAGAAGAUUGUGAAAAGAUAGCUAGCUAAGAUCGAUUGUAUUUAAAUUGUAGUCUUCAUUUCUCGAUUGUAUUCCGACAUAUGGAAAUGACAUUUUUUCUGUUCUAGUCCUCAUGAAUAUUUAUUUAUGUUUAUUCUGGUAUACCAAUUUUUAUUUAUGUUUAUUCUGGUAUUGAAUUUCUAAAUCACAAAAAGUAUUGAAUUUGUUAAUAUUUUUGAACUCAUGAAUAUUUUUAAAUUUCAUGGGCACUUUUUGAAUUCAUGAAUAUUUUUUCAAAUUUGAUGAUAUUUUUUCAUAUUCAUAAAUGUUUUACCAAUUCACAAAUGAAUGCAACUAAAAACCCAAAAUAAGUUACUAAUGGCACACCACGAGAAGGUGCGCCAUUGCUAUCAAGGUACUUAUGGCGCACCCCUAGCAGGUGCGCCAUUGGUAUACCAAUUUUUAUUUAGGUUUAUUCUGGUAUUGAAUUUCUAAAUCACAAAAAGUAUUGAAUUUGUUAAUAUUUUUUGAACUCAUGAAUAUUUUAAAAUUUCAUGGGCACUUUUUGAAUUCAUGAAUAUUUUUUCAAAUUUGAUGAUAUUUUUUCAUAUCCAUAAAUGUUUUCUAAAAAAUUAUUAGAUGCAACUAAAAAUCCAAAAAAUAUAUUUUCAAAUAACAAAUUUGAUGAUAACUUUUCAUAUUCAUAAAUGUUUUCAGAUUCAUAUUUUUUCAUAAGUGUUUUCAAAUUUGAUGAUAUUUUUUCACAUUCAUAAAUGUUUUCAAAUUUGAUCAUCAUUUUCUAAAAAAUUAUUAGAUGCAACUAAAAAUCCAAAAAAAAAGUUAGUAAUGGCGCACCAGGGGAAGGUGUGCCAUUGCUAUCACGGUGUUUAUGGCGCACCCCUAAAAGGUACGCCAUUGCUAACCCUCCUCCACUCCACUUGCUCCCCUCUCCCCUGGCCUCUCUCCCUCCCUCGCCAGAUCCACCUCUCCCACACCUAACCCGACGACCCCGUAGGAGCACGCCACCGUCCACCCGCGCCCGCUCCACUGCCCUGCCUCCUCGGCCCCCCUCCCCACUUGCCCCCUCGCACUUCCCCUCGCCCUCUCCGCCAUCUCCUCUACCUCAGAGCCCAGAAAGCCUCGCGCUUCCCUGCUCUCGCGCGAAGAGGUGGCUCCGAGAAGCCGAGCUCCAUUGCCGCAGAGGGUAGCAGCGCCGCGCAGCCGUGAGUACUAGGGAGGAGCGCCCCGGCGGACUGGAGAUCUGCUGCUGCGAAGUGCCGCAAUGGGCCAGGGAGGAGCGCCACCACAGAUUGAGGAAGGCCGCCUCCCGGACCGAGCUCCUCACACCACCGUAGAUCAAGGAGGACCGCCGCCCCGACCGAGCUCCUUCCUCAUGCCGCCCGCCUCUCCCCGACUUCGGCGCGCUAGCCCCCAGGUGAUUGAGGCCAUCCUACCCCAAUCCCAUCUCCUCCCAUCGGCAAUCCCCAUACCCUCGUCGCCGAUUGGCUGCGUGGUUCUUAUUGGAGCGUGGCUUGAAUUCUAGUGAUGCUUGUACUUUGGAUGCUUUUGAAUUUCAGUGAUGCUUGUACUCUGUAUACUUUUAAAUUUCAGUGACAAGUAGCAUGGAAAUUAACUUGUACUGAUAAUGCUAAGAAUUGACCUGUACCGGUUCUUGUAACAUACUGUAUAUACAGAUACUGGAUUUGAUUGGAUAGGAUUGACUGAUAAUGCUAAUAGUUUGAGCUUGUUGUCUCUUAAGGAAUCUAAACAAAAGUGUAUUGUGAAAGCAUGGAAAUCUUGUUUGAUGCUUCUCUGCACUGCACUACAUGCUGGCAUAUAGAAGAUUCUUCUCCGAAACUGAAUGUAUUUUAAGCAUUUGAUUCAGCAUUUUUAGCUUACCUCCAUGGCUUGCUGCAAUCUUGAAGUAACACAAUUUUGGCUGUAGUGCAUCCCCUGUAAAGUUCAUGCCAUGUGCUUGUCUAGUAUAUACUGUAGUACAAACAUUGUUAACUGGAUAUUUUUGCUCAUUGUUUGCUAGACCUGUCUAGUAUAUGUUUGCUAUUUGCUAUAUUAUUUAGUGUUGAAUGUAUUUUUUGGAUCUGGUCAGAUUUCUCACCAGUGACCUUGGUUGCCAUUAUCUUAAUUCAAAAGGUGCUAGCACUGAAUGUCUUGCUCUGUGCCCAUCUAUGGCAUGAAAAUGGGUCUUGUGUGACUACUUAGAAUGUUUUAUUGAUAGUCUCUAAGUAACAUUUCAAAUUGUAUUGUAGUUUGAAUCUUCUGUAGUUCAUGCCGUGGGCACUCAACUAGGGUUAGAUAUAGCCAUCUAUUUUGAGUUUUGUUUGUUGAUUUUGAGAUCUUUUGUAGGGAUUUUGAUUUUGAGGUGGUGUGAGUGUUAGGGUUUUCUUUGCUUUCUUGGAGGUGCACUCAGUGAGGCUUCUGGUAUGUGUUAUUAAUCACUUAUUCUCUUUUGUUUUUUAUUUAUUUCCCCCCUGUUAUUUAUAGAUCUUGGUUAGGUAUACCUUAUGCCUUGUGUAGUAUAGUUAAUUUUCUGCUUGAUUUUAGUUAUCAUCAUGCUUGUAGUUAGGGAUCCCCUCAUGUUAUUUUUUUGAUGAAUCGCUAGGGGGCAAGCCGCCCCACCUGUUUUUUUUUAAUUUUGCCCCACCUGAAUUAUAUUACUCAAUUGCAAUUAAGCAAACAUGUUCAAGCUGGUUAUCAGCAUGUCUUGUAUUUUGAUCAUGAGAAGCAGUAGCAUUGAAACUUACAAUGGUUUUUGAACACCCACUAUUAAGUAAUAAUAAGUCUAUAUUCAUAUAAGCCUGAGCAGUACAGUAGCUGAACCCACUAGCAGCACUGCAGCAGCUAACUAAGCUAUAUGCACACAUAGAAGAAAAUUACUUUGACAGAACACCCACAAACACAACGGAACAUAUAUACAACAAGUUUGGUGGAAUUCUAUUUCAAGAGACUAAAACUCAGUGUUGAUUUGCCAUGACACAAACAAAAUGUUUUCUUGCAUUAGAAUUUUGACUGAAUAACUAGUUCAUGCUGACCUGAGAUGGUUGGUUGCUGUCAACUUCGGAGGAAUAAUAAGUUGUUAUUCUGCUGCUGUUGUGUUGUUAUCUGCUGCUGCUGGUUAAAGUUCUUUGGAGGGUAUGAGAAGAAGCAGAGCAUUCAGUUUUGGCAAUUUCAUUUGUUGCUCUGUUGUUAUCUGCUUUGAGAUGCUGCAGUUCAUACGCACCUGCAAGAACUCUCUGGAGUAAAAUCUGCUUGUUCAUACCCGUUUCUCCUGAAAUGUUGAUUAAUUUCCGUUUCGGUUGAGAAUGGGGAACUCCUAGGUCAAGAAAAUUAGCAAAGGUCAUGCCCAAUUUUCUUGACCUAGAAGGUGCCCAAUUCUCAACCAAAACAAAAAUUAAUCAGCAUGUAUCUUGACAUCAACCAACUUUCUGAACACAUCCCUCAACAACUAGGUUAUCUUGAGAACUUAGAGGAGUUGUGGCUUUGGAAAGAGGCCUUGGAAAGCUACUCCUACUAGCUAGAUGGAGAUCUGUGCUCUGCUGUGGCACGCACUAGUUAAUUAAUUAAGCAAAACUAAUCUCUGGUCAAAAUUAUGGGCUAAUCAUGAUUAAAUGAUAGGAGAGGGAUGCAUGGCAGUGGCACCCAUUGAAGCCAUACAUAUAUACAAAGCUAUAAAAAGAUUAUACAAUAGUAGUGGUCUAGUGCUUUAGUGGUUGGAUUAGUUUAGUAUUUUUUCACACACUCAGGCACCCUUGCUUGCCAUGUGUGUGAGAGAGAUAGUGAGAGGAGACAAGAAGAAGGGGUUUAGGAAGAUGCUGCCUGCUCAUCAAAGCUAACCAUCUCCCCCUUUUCACCCCUUUUCCUUUGUCUUUUGUGGGUUGCAAGGAAGCUACUGUCUUAGCUAGCUUAGCUUGUGCACAAAUCCACUGCCACUGCCAUGAUUAAAUUAUCUUAGAUGAUAACAAUAACUAAUUGUCGGUAUCUAUCUGUAUGUGUAUCAUAUCAGUUGCUUGCACUUGGUAAAGGUGGAUGCAUGGCAUGGCAAUGCUAGCUAUAUCAAUUGCUUACUUACUAAUUAAUCAAAUGAUACGGCCGGGGUAUCUUUAGGGGCACCCAGUGAGCUAGUAUACUCCACAUGACUGGCCAGUAUUAAAACAAGUUAAUUACACCACCAUAUGACCGACUGGUCGAUUAAUUAAGCUACUAAUCCCAGUGUUACAAGCUAGAAAAUUAGCCUGCAAAGAUGAGAUCCCAUGCUGGCUGUACCACUGCAUCAUGCAAAGUGCCUUCAAGAUCCAAGGCAAUAUCACAAACAUCAUAGGCAAUUUGACCAAACUCACAUCAUUGUAUCUUUGCAGCAACCAACUUUCUGGACACAUCCCUCAAGAACUAGGUUACCUUGAGAACAUGGGCUUGGACCUUAGCAACAAAACACUAACAGGUUCCAUCCCAAAACACCUAGGCAAUAUCACAAACAUCUCUCAAUUGUUCCUUGACAAUAACCAACUUUUUGGCGACAUUCCUCGAGAAUUAGGUUAUCUGGUCAACUUAGAGAUAUUGUUCCUUGACAAUAACCAACUUUUUGACCAAACUAUUUUCCUAUUUAGAGCGAACAUGGCCAACAACGAUGAGGCCUGCGGUUCGGGUAAGCAAUUCUAGGAGCUGUCCCGGGAGAUGGAGGAAGAACCUCAUCGCUAUGAGGACGCCACGGAAGACACCGAUCUCGACUACACAACCCCUAGUGGUGUCGGGGAUGACACCACUGAUGGUGCCGCCGAGGAUGCCACCAUUGAUGAUGGCAGCGCAUGCACAGAUGGCAGCCAACCGAAGAGGCAACGGAAGAACCGGCGCCCGAACAUGCGUGGCACCAUCAAGCAGGAAUUUACUGAAGUGUCCUCCAGUGGGAAUCCAACGGCGCCCAAAGAAUUAGUCAGUGGGUACUCGGGACAACUCGGGUGCAUUCUUUGGAGCACCGUCUCGAUCAACACCGAGAACCUAAGGCAUCGUGACCGAGGGAAUUUGCGCAACCUCCUCUUCACGAAGCUGCAUGAACGAUACAAGUUCCCCGGUGACUUCGCAAACACACGCCUCUCAGGGAAUAAAGUGAACAGUGCCACCCUCACGAAUAUGAGCACGACCCUGGCUACUUGGUUCACCGCCGUGAGGAGAAGGAUUCUAAGAGGUGAUAGUUAUGAGAAGAUCAAGGAGACAAAUCCUUCGAUCAGCGAAGCUGACUAUCGGGAGUUCAAGAUCAAGUGCGAGAGCAACGCAACUGCGGAAUCAAGUCAGUAGGGGAAAGAUAUGCGGGACUUGAACUUAGGGGUCCACAAACUCGGUCCCGACGGUUACAGAGUGGCGGAACCUAUAUGGGACAAGGAGGACGCGAAGCGUGCCGAGCAAGGCCUACCGCCCCUCUUCGAUAAAUACCAUGACAAGCAGACCAGUAACUAUGUCAGGGCCCAGUACAAGGUGGAGCCGGUAACAAAGGAUCUUACCACUGAUCGAAAUACCAAGGCGCUUGAGCUUGUUCUGGUAAGGAAUACACCCCCACGUAAUUAGCUCCAUAUGAUUGCAUUCUAAUUAAUGAAACCAAAUUUCUAAAUGGUUCACGUUCCUUCCGCAGGACAUUGAAAGCAGUAGCGCGGGGUCGUCUCAGAGCUCCCCUUGGGACACCACUUUAAAUAGGGUGUUGAACGUAAUGAAACACAAGGAUAAGUUCACUAAGCCGCCAUCAGCUGGUAGUGUGGCCGGCAAAGGCUUGUCCACAAAAUGGUCGGAAUACUAUAACGCUGGGUGAAAGGAGAGAAAGACCAGCUCAGAAAGCCAGGAGCGCGAGGUUCAAGAACUCAAGGCACAAGUGGCGUGGAUUUCGGAGAUGGUCCAAGAGCAAGUGCGAGACCAACUGGGAGCGACGAUCACCGCCAUUGUGUCUACCUUGAUUGAGGGGCUGUAGGUGUGGAUUGCGGGCGGCCAACAGGGGCCGCCCCCGAUUCCCAGCUUCACGGGCAGCAACUCGCACAACGCGCCGGUGGCGCCAUUGGUGUCUCCAGCGGAGGCGGUAUUGGUGUCUCCGGCGCCGGCCCGGGCAUUGGAGCUUAAUGCACCCAGGUGUGGGAAGAAUACGCCGACCGGCACCUCGGCAGCAAGCGGCCCCUCCAUCACUUGCACGUCCGCCGUUGGCGGUGCCUCGACAUUAGCCGAGCUCGACGCCAUCACGGUAACUAAGCCUCUCGGCCAAUGACUUCAUCUCGUUGCCUUUGACUGGGCAUCCCUGACGCCCUACAUGUUUCCGCAGGGCACCGCAAACGUUCCAUGCACUCUCCUGCACUUCGUAGGCGGCGAGUUGAUCGAUGUCGCCAAGGCCAGAAUCGUUCAAUCGGGCAACCCCAUGUUCCACGGUAAUCCCAUGCCACCCACCGUGUAUAGGGUUCAACUGGUUCGGGUGCUGCGGGGAUGCGGUGACUUGUUACCUCUGUUUCGACCCCAUGGUCCGACGAAGAUGAAGUGAUGACCCUCAGCACCUGCUUAAGCUGGCCCAUGCUUUGGCUGAAGAGCCAGAUUCGUUUGAGGGCGGGGGACACAACCCCACAGACAACACCGCUAGUCGUGCCGGCGCCAAGCCAUGGCAAGACCGCCGCAACGCUACCGCUGUCAGCUGAUCUGGACAUGCAUAUGGCACAGGAUCCGGAUGAUGGUACAUUUACCAACGUCGAUAAGUACUUGAACGAACAUGGGUAUGGUGAUGAAUUCUUAGGGCUGCCUCCUCAAGAACCCAACCUUGCAAAAUACGAUCGCGAUCUAGCUGGUACCGCGAAGAAACCCAAUUGCAACAUGCGUCGUCUGGCGUUCAGUUCUCAGGAGACGCCUCCAGCUGCCGCCUUCACUGAGCCUCAGAUAGCCGAGGUGCGAAAUAUUAUCAGCCCCAACACACUCAAGAAGGUGGUCUCUGAGCAGAACUCUAUCCCAUUACAACAGCAGGAGAAGAAGGGAGGAAAAAGAAAGAAUAACAAGGGUGCGAGCCAGUCGGCACCGAGUACGAUCCGUGCUCAGGACGGGCCACCUUCACCUAAGGAUAUCUCGAGGAGGGUGCAUGUGGCGGGUAGGCCGAUGCUACCAACUAAUCUGCUCAAUGCUGCAACCGGUGCUAUGCGGAGUGUGCAUGAUAGUGUUCUUUCUUUGGAGAAGUGGCGUCUCUCCGAGAAUGAUGUGGCAUACACGGUUUUCGUGGCCAAGGUGCCAGAGGGCAAGGGCUUUGUCGAUAGCACCAUCGGGGUAAUGAUCGUCCUGCGGUUUGAUGACAUCUUCGCUAUGUUUAACCUUCAUCCGCUGCACUACACCUUCAUUCGGCUAUUUUCGCUCAGUAUGGAGAUGCGGAUCAUUAGAGACAAGACCCCGGACAUCAUGAUAGUCGACCCCUUCUACAUGCGUGCCAAGAUCUUGGGCAGCGCUGGGGACCGGCAAGUCGCGAGUUCAUACCUCGAAGGCAUCAUUCUGGCGAACCCAGAUAAGGAUAACUUCCUCGUGCCUUACUUUCCCGAGUAAGUCAUCCCCUCACCGCCCCGUAACAUAUGAUUUCUUAGAUUUCGAUCAUUCUUUUUUUUCUAACAUUCCGUGUUUUGUGCAGUGACACACAUUGCACACUCAUCCUCUUAAGCCCAAAAUAUUCCAUGGCCACGUAUUUCGACUUGGACCGUCAGUCGAAGAAAGACUACACAAAUAUCAAGAAAGUUCUUGAUGAUGCUCUCCCCGGCUACGCCAGAUCUGGAGGCACCUUCAGGAGGCCAAUUUGUAGGUAUGGCAGGCAUGUGUUCACCCAUGUAACGACGUUCCCCUACGUCAAGCAGCCGCCUGGCGGUCAGAAAGAUGGCUACUACGCCCUCCAUCAUAUACGGGCGAUUGUACGGGACCAUAAUCACCUUCUGCUACCAACUAAUCUCAAUAAUUGGGCCGCACGCUUGUCGGCAAUUCAGGACGCGAACAUCAGACAAGAAUUCUUUCGCAUCCAGUCGAAGUUUGCGGAAAUCAUCCAUCAAGAUGUCCUUCGUACCUCGGGGUAGUUCUACCCCAGAUAUCAACCGUUCAACAGUGAAAUAGAAACAACGCUACAAAUACAGGCUGCCAACGACCGCGAUUUCAUGACCAUCACGAUAGACGGUGGCUUUAUUCACGCCUCGGUCCCAGAGUCGAGUCAAAAGUAGUGAUGCUAUGUAGUUCUGAAAUAUCGAUUAUCUCAUGUUGUAAUUAAACUUUAAUGAACUCGUAUGUCUCUUUAGUUUGGACAUCGUUCAACUUAUAUGUAAUCGAUGCUAUUUAUUUGUAGGACCAUGAAUCAUGCUAUUAAUGUGUUGCUUUUCUCUUCCGAUCCUUUUGUUGCAUACUUAUAUAUUGCUUAUGUAUUGUCUGUGAUUUGCUACUAACGUUUUGUUUGUCUAGUGCAUAGAGAUGCAGUCAUAUGUCGUGUACAAGGGUAAGGUUUCCGGAGUCCUCGGAGACAGGUUCACCGUUUUAGCGGUAACAGUUACAAAAGAUACACCACUAGGGCGGAGGCGGAAGCUAGAUACGCGCGCUAUCUAGCGGGAGAGAGGAGGGAGCGUUGGAGGAACCGGAUGAAGACCAGUUUCAUCGCGAUGAUGCUCAAUGUGACCGCAGCUCUCUUCUAUGUGAUGGUAGUUUAGAUGAUCGAUAUCGACUUGUAAUGUGAAGACAAACUCGCUACUCGCGGUCUCGAGACUUGUAAUGUUCUAACUUUGUUCGGUAUUUUGAAUUCGGAGACUAAUAUGAUGAAUUGUAUUCGGAGACUAAUCUUCUAUUGUAUUCAAUAAAUCUGUUGUUUAUAUGUUGUGCUGUUUAUAUUCUAUGUUGUAAUGUAUUUUGUAACCUGUGCAAAUAUCAGAAAAGAAAAAAAAAUUCCUAAUAUUCAUAGUAGUGGCGCACUAUAUUGCACUUUAGUGGCGCACUGGAAUAAACACACCAGUAGCGCAUUAUCUAAAAGUGCGCCAUUAGUAACCCAGAGCACAAGGUAAAUAUGGCCCCCUGGGAGGCAUAGUAAUGGCGCACCGGUGGACAUAGUAAUGGUGCACUAUGUGGUAUGCCACUAUUAUCUCGAAUACUAAUGGCGCACCAGAGGUGCGCCAUUACUAUUUGUUACUAGUGGCGUGUUAAUAGUGGGCACCUGCAGUGCGCCAUUAAUGGCAAAAACAGAUGCGCCACUAACAACCUUUUUUCUAGUAGUGAUUAGACCAGUCUAAAAAAUGCAGAACAACAUUCACCGCAUCCGCUCUGAAAAUUUCCUAGUUUCUUUGGAAGAAACGAGCCGGGGAAACCAUCCGGACCGGGGGCUUUUAGAGGACCUAUUCAGAAUAGGGCGUCACUGGUCUCCUCAGCUAUGAACGGUUUGGUCAGUUCAGUGUUAAGAACAAUAAGUUCAUGGGGGAUCACCUCAUCAUCCUUUGACGAAAUCUGUAGCAAGCUCCUAGAUACCCUCUUUUUCCUCGACCAUUUACCCUCUUUGUCUUCUAAUCUUGUAUGAUGGCAUUCUUUUUUUUUCCUCCAUGAGGCUUUUCUUUAGAAAUACCUAGUGUUCAUGUCCCCUUCUUUUAGUUCCAUUACUCUUGAACGUUGUCUCCAAAUCAUCUCUUCUCCGAGCAAGAGCUCGUCCAAUUCUUUAGAUAGAUUUUUUACUUGAUUUUGCUGAUCAACCGAGUAGGGGGCCUUCCAAAGAAUACUCAAUCCUUUUCUUAUCUUAGCUGUUUGUUUCAGUAUCGAACCGAAAUCUUUAUUUUCCCAACUUCUACCGCAUGGUUAAUAAUUUUGAUCCUACCUCCAAGAGAGUAUCGACGAAAUCACUAAUUAAGGAGUACUCCUUGUGGAGAUCACUCUAACUUUCCCAGGUUGCGACAAGUGGCGCGCUGCAUGUGCGUCACUUGUCGCAACCUCGAAGUUUUCCCUUUUUUCGUAGAUCUGUUUAUUCAAAACGUUUUAUCUCUUAAACCGUGCGUCCAAAUCUCGAACCGCUUUCGCCAUUGUAUUCCUCGCGUCGAGAUCUUCAAAAUUAGAUCCCAUGUUGACAGGUUUUGAUGAACUUUUUUUUCGCGAAAAAAACUGGACGAAAAAACCGUACCGGGAGCACGGGUUUCCCUUUCCGAAAGAGGCACACCCUUGCCUCUGACGAAAUCACAACCGUGCCUCUCGCAGAAGCAAAACCGUGCCUCUCUCGAAAGAAAAAAAAACAGAAAAUACGUUUUUUUUCGUUUCCGAGGAGGCACGGCCGUGACUCUCGCGGAAGCAAAACCGUGCCUCUCGCGAAAGAAAAAUAAAAUGAAAAAGUGUUUUUUUUUGUUUCCAAGAGGCACGGCCGGGACUCUCGCGAAAUCACAACCGUGCCUCUCGCGGAAGCAAAACCGUGCCUCUCGUGAAAGGAAAAAAAAACAAAAAACACGUUUUUUUUCCGUUUACAAGAGGCACGGCUGUGCCUCUCGCGAAAUCACAACUGUGCCUCUCGCAAAAACAAAACCGUGACUCUCGCGAAAAAAAAUGCGUUUUUUUUGCGCAAAUUUUUUUCCGUCGAAAAGCUAGGGAGGACCGGUGAAAAACCAAAACGUCAAAAACCCCCCGGAAAAACCCCGUUUAAAAAGCCAAAAACGGGUGCGGAAAAAUAAAAAAAAUAAAAUCCAGAGGGAGUGCCCACAGCGCGACACGCGAAUGGCUGAGAGUGCGUUAAGUGACGCUUGAUCCUUGCGAGCCUCCCGAAGAAGCGCUCGUUAAUUAGUUGCUCCCGAGUACCGACUAUAUAUUUCUUCUUCCAAGAAGCUUCAACCGAGUUCUUAAGCGUGUCCACCCUUUCCCACAUGUAUCAUACCGAAACAUGGGCUGAAAAUAACCAGGCAUAUUCCAGUUUAUUGGCUAACUUCCCAAGACUUAAAUUUCUCUAGGUAUUUGGUUCAGUGUCUUCUAAAAGGGUAUAUGGUUCAAUAUAUCUUAUAAAAGGUCGACUAGCAUAUGCUUAAAGUACAGGGUACUUGUGUGCGAUUUUGGUCUUUUUUUUAUAAGAUUGUUAUUUUUAAUAGACAAAGGUAGAGUGUGGUUUCAAUAGACCUAAAUAUUAUGAACGUGGUGUGACACGCUUUUCAUGUCAAGCCAUCUCUAUUGUCAUGUUUUAAAGUGGAAUCCCUCUCCUUUGUUGGUUCAGUCAUGUAUGUUGUCAUGUUCUUAAGUGAAAACUCUCCUUUGGUGUCUUACUCUGAGAAUAUUCCAACAAUAUCAGCCUUACAUCAUCAUACGCAAAAUCAGACUAUAAUAGUCGGCGUGCAACAGCAAGAUUUUUUUUUGUGUGUGUAGAAAUUAAUUCAACAGCGAGUUCAGAUGAAUAAAAAUAGCGUCUGCCACUAGUGUAAUAGAAAUUUGUACAGCUUAAUCCAAGAAUAAAGCAUCUCACAAGCAACUGAAAUGAAAAGGGUACAAACCAAACCUAAUUCCUUCCUCCUAAUUUGGUGACUUGGAUCAUGGUAGUCGCCGGCAGAUUACCUAACAUCAUGGACGUCAAGACCUCGUUUGUUUGCUCCGCGUCUAUGCUCCCAUCUUUGUCGCCCUCGAUGAUUUCCACCGAUUUUAGGUUGGGGGUGAGGGAUAUGGUCCGAGGUAGCUCCACCAUUGAACUGUUUGGGAACUCAUGGCACUGUAGGCAAGACGAACAAUUAUUAGGAGGUAAAAAAUUAUAAUUUCUGAGAAAGCAGGAUUAGUUAAGCGGGUGUACCUGACAGUUCUUUAGAGUGAGCUUCUCUAGGGCUGGAGCAUUAUGCAGAAAACGGCAGAGCGUCUGAGCAUCGCCGCCAAUCUCGGAAUCCUCAAGGACCAAGGUCCUCAUGCUGCGAAACACCGGUAACCCAUGGUGCUCCUCGUCGAGCAUCGCCUGCAACAUUGGCCGCGGGAACUUGUCCUUGGCCAGUGGCGGCAUCAGCGGCAUCGGCGGCUGAUCUGGCAAGAAGAAUGGUCCAGGUGGUUGAACAAAAGGUAUAUAUGCGUGCAGCAUCUCCGGCUGAUAUUGAAAGAAUUGAGCUCCAACAGGUGGAGCAUGAGGUGUAGGUUGCUCAACUACUGUCUGCAUCGCAUUGCAUAUACGUACAGUUAAUAAAUCAGACAUUUAUGCGCAGUAAAAGUAAAACAGAAAUCAAUUACUAUAUAGAGUACUAAUUGAGCAAGAGCAAGGGCAGUAUAGAUAGAGCACCAUGUUGCCAAAGCCGUGCAGCUUCAGGGUGCAGACGUGGGACAGAGAGCCGAUGAAGUUGCACAGAGCCCUGAGCAGAUCCCUGUCCUGCUGAAGGUAGUAGCCGCCCCCCUGUUUGUGCCGGAGAUCAGGCGUCCCUACCAGGCGGACGGAUGCUUGGACGAGGCAAGGCGCCUCCUCGAGGACGACGGCGAAGGAGAUGAGGCACCGGAAGUUAACGGCGAGGUGCAGCGACGCGAGUCGAGGGGCGGCGAUGGUGAAGGUUAGGCUCUCGCUGUUCCGAUUAGAGGAUUCGACUACGAGGUUUUUAAGCGUGCCGGACGCGAUCCUCGGGAGCGAUGCUGAUAACCUGGUGCCCGUGAUCUGCAGGUCUUCCAGCACGGGGAGCCCGUAGGCGAGGUGCUCCGCGAAAUCACGGUGGAGGGUCACCUGGUCGAGGCGCAGGCUCGUGAGGCGGUGGGAGGCUAGAGGGGGCAGCCUGACGGAGCCACGCACGUCGAGCGCCGCCGGGGAGCACUGGAGGCCGCGACGCACCCACCUCGUGUACUUGGUCACGAAGAUAUCAUUGCCGUAUCCGUACAUUGACGGAUCGCUCAACCAUAACGGAGGGAGGCGCAGCCGCAGGGUUUGCAGGGGCGCAGCGCCGGCGCUCCGAAUCCGAUGGACCAGAAGGCUGUCGGCGAAGUCCUCGAAGUCGGCGAACUCGUCCGGCUGCUCCUUCCCGUAGUUAGCGAGCUGGGCGGGGCUCAGCGGCCACGGGCUGGGACGUAGAGUCGCAUCGGGGCGGAACUCGCCGAUAUCGACGUCGAGGCACGGGGACGUGGGCCAGAGGUGCUGCCACCGCCGCGACAGCACGCACGUCUGAACGACCUGCCGGGCCUUGAGGCGCGACAGGAUGUCAUAGAGGAGGCAGUCCGGCAGGUCGCUCAGCCGGUCGUCCAAGCUGCCGCCGGCACGCUUCGCCGUCCUCAAGGCUUCCAUGCUGAUGGAUCUUCGGUUUGGUGCGCGUCCUUGUUUUACGGAUCAAUCUACCCAUCUACCCAAUCUAUAAGGAGAGAGUAUUUAACCAAAAACUACCACAAUUCACGGAACCGUGAGGAAAAACUACCACUUUACGAUUUUAUACGAAAAACUACCGCUUUUUUCUUAAACCUUGGCAAAAAACUACCAAGUCUGAAAAGAGCCCGCUUUGGCUCUUUUAAGCGUGUUUCUGACAGAGUUGGCCCACACAUAAGCAGGCUAAAAAGCAAUCGGGUCCCUAGUUUUUUUUCAAAAAAGGCUCGCGACGACGGCGGCGGCGGCGGCGGCUGCGCACGCACGCAAGCCAGCCGGUCAGCAAGCGGCGGGCGUAGUGGCGGCGGUGUUCGUGCUCCUCUACUUCUCCUCGCUGCAGCAGCCCAGCCCCUCUUCUCCUUCUCCACUGUCUCCUCUCCGUCUCCUUCUCCUCUGCCUCCUCUCCUUCUCUUGCAGCAGCAGCACGGGCACGAGCUCCUCUCUCGCGCAGCCCCGCCGCACUGCACAGCCGCACCUCGUCGCAGCCCCACUGCCGCACGCGCACACGCAGCCGUGCGCACAGCCCUUGCGCAGCCGCUCGAGCAGCCGCCCCGCCGGCUCGCCGCAGCAGCGCGUGCAGGAUCCUCCCCUUGCCCGACGUAGCCGGGCCCCAUGGCGCGCGCAGCUCGCAGGGCUGCCGCGAGCUCGCCACGCCGCUGCCGUCGCGCAUCCCAGCGCCUCCUCGCACGCGUGCACGCAGCCGCCUGCCCCCUCCAGUCGCUGGAGGACUGGAUUGAUUUUUUGAAAAAAAACUAGGGACCCGAUUGCUAUUUUAGCCUGCUUAUGUGUGGGCCAACUCUGUCAGAAACGCGCUUAAAAGAGUCAAAGCGGGCUCUUUUCAAACUUGAUAGUUUUUUGCCACGGUUUAGGAAAAAAGCGGUAGUUUUUCGCAUAAAAUCGUAAAAUGAUAGUUUUUCGUCACGGUUCCGUGAAUUGUGGUAGUUUUUGAUUAAAUACUCAUAAGGAGACGUAGUUCGGUCGUGGAGUGCGGAACUUGGCUACCUUUCCGCGAUUUUUUGUAACAACUUUCCGCGAUAUUUUUGUAUGCAUCACAGAUGCAAGAGCUCAUAUACGCGCGCAUACAUUCACCCUUAUGAACGCAUAUACGCAUACCCUAUCCUUAUGAGCACAUCCGAAAGACUGAGCCACAAUAUCAUCUUGAAAUUUACAAAGUCGUCGUAGGCACCUCGUCAUCGACGGGGACGUCUCCUCCCACUGAAUGCGCAUCACCGGAAAUUCUGAAAUAAAUCCAGAAAUAAAUGCGAGCACCAGGACUUGAACCUGAUGGGCUAGGGAUACCACAAUGCCUCUAACCAUCCAACCACAAGUUAGUUUUUUUCGCAAUUUGUUGUUUCGUUGAUUUCUGUGGAUGUUUACGAGCCUUGUUUUGUGUGUUGGAUCCAGAUUCUCUAACCAGUCUUUAGGAACUAACCUAACCUUUGCGAAGAUCAUCUCCAAUCAAGAUAGAUGAUGUACUAGCAAAAGAGCCCGUGUGUUGUAACGGGAGGACAUAAUUUCAUGUGCACCAAGUAAUCCAUUCGUGUUGCCACUUCUGUACGCCACCAUCAUCCACGAUGGUCAUGUGGUCCAAUUAUUCACCUCUUUCAAUUCCAAGCCGUCGAUGAGCUUGGUUGUGCGGCAAUGUCGUGUACGGGAACUUGCGAUUGAGCUUAGCUAUCGGUAGAGGGACUUGAGGCCUUCCUACAUGUGACGUCGGCAUGCAACUCGAAAUUUAGACAUACUAUUAGAACUUAAAAAGAAACUCGAAUUUUUGGGGUUCAUGCUGGAGUUUGCAGUGCUUGUGUAUGUGUGGAUGCUACCUUUCCGAGUUUUGUUGCUUCGUUCAAUUCUAUGGUUUUUUUUGUCCUUGUGUAUGUGUGCUGCUUCGUUGGUAGGCACGUACUAGAAAGCUACAAAGCCAUGUACCACAUACGUUCAACAAGUGAUGUUUUGACUCAGCUUUCACAUUGUUGGAAUCGCCCUGUACUAACUAAAAGAAGAUAGAAAGCCCAAGGCCUCAAACGGCCCAAGCAACCUGAAAAGCAAGGUAGGGCAAGGCACGUAUGAGGCGGCCAGCCUAAAAACCUGCCUAAUUGUUGCCUAAAUCGGUGGAUUCUGGCCUAGAGGGAGGAAUUGUGAGAUUUGACAAGCUUUGUCACUUUUUAGCUAAAUCUAGGCCUUUUUUAGGUAAACCUCAUGCGUGCCUCGCUUCAUGUGCCUGAAAUCUGGCUAGUGCCUCAGUUAACUUGUGGGCUUGGUUGGGCCUUGCCUUGCUGAGGGAGUCCUGGACUAAGGGGUCCUCGGGCAUCCAGGCUAUGUGAUAUGGGCCGGGCUAAUGGGCCGUGAAGAUACGAAAUCAAAGACCUUCCUCUGUGUCCGGAUGGGACUCUCCUUUGCGUGGAUGGCAAGCUUGGCAUUCACAUCAUGCAUCUUCCUUUCUCUGUAAACCGACUCUGUACAACCCUAGAUCCCUCCGGUGUCUAUAUAAACCGGAGGGUUUAGUCCAUAGGGCUAGAACAAUCAUAUGGGCUAGACAUCUAGGGUUUAACCAUUACGAUCUCGAGGUAGAUCAACUCUUGUAACCCCUAUACUCAUCAAAGUCAAUCAAGCAGGAAGUACGGUAUUACCUCCGUUAAGAGGGCCCGAACCUGGGUAAACAUCGUGUCCCCUGCCUCAUGUUACCUUCGAUCCUCAGACGCACAGUUCGGGACCCCCUACCCGAGAUCUGCCGGUUUUGACACCGACAUUGGUGCUUUCAUUGAGAGUUCCACUGCGUCGUCGCCAGAAGGCUCGAUGGCUCCAUCAAUCAUCUACAACAAUAUUGCCCUGAGGGAGACUUUUCUCCCCGGCCAAAUCUUCUUAUUCGGCGGCUUCACACUGCGUGCCAAUUCGAUUGGCCUUCUGGAGCAGAUCGACAGCUACGCCCCUGGUCAUCAGAUCAGUUUUGGAAACCUAAAUUAUGUCGCUGAUAUCCAAGGAGACUUGAUCUUCCAAGGGUUCGCGACCUCGACCACAGCUCCGGCCUUAGAUCCGGAACACAUCACCGAGUCCGAAGACGGGAGUUUAGAGCCCGCUGGACUCUCCGCAGCCAUAGAGCUCAACACCGGAGAUACGGAGGGGAUCGUUUCACCGGCAGGCCCGGAGUCACGCCAGACUCCCUUCAUCAACAUAAAGCCGGACUCACCCCCGAACACCAGCUCCGAACUCUCGAGGUCCGUGUUAUGCGGACUCGGCCAGGGAACUCCCGUCCCGCCUAACUCCACAGACCCUCGCUUCCCCGUCCAAUCCUCGCUCUUGAACAAGGCCCUGAACUUAAUGCGAUCUCUCGCCAUUGUAGAAAAAUCACUAUAAAACUACAUCCAGCCCAUACUAGGGGCUGAGAGCGGGGAAUUUCAUGUCCCACCCACCACCCACUUCAUAGCCACUGUUGAGGAUUUAACCGACACGCUCGACUACGAUUCCAAAGACAUUGACGGUAUGGACAAUGAUACCGGAGAUGAGAAGAGCCAGAACCCGCCGUUCACCGGACGCUGGACGGCCACUUCCUCGUAUGAUGUAUACAUGGUGGACACACCCAAAGAGGAUGACGGAGACGAUGGGAAGAAUCUAGAGGACAAGCCUGCUGAAGCACCUCCGAAGCGUCGACGUCAGCAGCAUCGAUCAAAAUGGCGUCGCGAAAAAGACAACAAUACCGGCACCGAAGAAAAUAAUACCCCGGAGAAUGCCGAAGACCAAGAUGCCCGAUCGAGCCAACAUCUGAACAGGAUGAUUGGGAAGAGGGGAAAGUCAAACCCGAUGAUCCUAUCGGGAAUGAGGGCUCCGAGGAUAGUAAUUACCUACCGAUCUCCGAAGAGGACGAGAGCCUCGGCGACGAAGAGUUCAUCGUGCCAGAGGAACCCCUCGAAUAAGAGCGCUCUAAGCGCCGGCUAAUAGCCACUACAAGAAGCCUGAAAAAGAAGCGACAUCAACUUCAAGCUGACCAGGACUUACUCAUUGACAGAUGGACUAAUGUCCUGGCUGCCAAGGAAUACGGUCUCGAGCGCCCAACUAAGAGUUACCCAAAGCGCAGGUUGCUCUCCCAAUUCAACAAUGAGGUCCUAGAACCUAUACCGACAGCGCGUAAUGCGGCUGACGGGCCGGGACAGAGCGGCAACCCAAGCCGAACACCAGCCCGCACCACCUCGCCCUAGAUGUAGAGAAACAGUGGCUGCAAGGUACAUGCACGACCUGCGAUAGGACCUGGACAAUAGAGCCGGUCAUACCAGAUCAAUUUAUGGAUCAAGGGGGCAUGCACCAGCGCGAGAAGACGGCCAUCAGGCCUGGCGCGAUAAGCACAACCUCACCAGGGCCGAAAACCGCAUACUAACUCCAUCCGAACUGCGUCGUGACGUUGCUCGAUAUAGAGGAGCCACACACCCCCUAUGCUUCACCGAUGAGGUAAUGGAGCACUAGUUCCCAGAAGGGUUUAAACCCGUGAACAUUGACUCAUACGACGGCAUGACAGAUCCCGCAGUAUGGAUUAAAGAUUUUCUUCUCCACAUCCACAUGGCCCGCGGUGACGACUUACAUGCCAUCAAAUACCUCCCCCUAAAACAUAAGGGACUAGCACGACACUGGCUGAACAACCUCCCAGAAAACUCUAUCGGUUGUGAAGACUUGGAGAACGCCUUCAGAUACAACUUCCAAGGUACCUAUGUUCGGCCCCCGGACGCUGAUGACCUUAGUCACAUAAUCCAGCAACCCGGUGAAUCAGCCCGGAAGCUCUGGACCAGGUUCUUAAUCAAAAAGAACCAGACUGUGGAUUGUCCGGACGCCGAAGCCCUUGCGGCCUUCAAACACAACGUUCGAGAUGAGUGGCUCGCCCGACACCUCAGCCAAGAUAAGCCGAAGUCCAUGGCAGCCCUUACCGCACUUAUGACCCGCUUUUGCACGGGAGAAGAUAGCUGGCUAGCUCGUAGAAGCAAUAGCACCAGCGACCCAGGCACCUCUGAAGCCAGGGACGGCAAUGGCAAGCCAAGAUGCGACAAGCACAAAUGUCAAAACAAUGACAAAGACAUGGCGGUCAAUGCUGGAUUCAGUGGCUCCAAAUCCGGUCAGCGGAAGAAGCCAUUCAAAGGAAACAAAGAUGGUCCAUCCAGUUUGGACAGAAUACUUGAUCGGCCUUGCCAGAUUCAUGUCUUUAAAUAGGUCGACAAGCUCAAUGCCGAACACAAGGGGAAAAGGCCGCCCAGCGAGGACGACGAAGAAGAGCCUCGCCCACCGAACACAGGGGGGCAGAAGAAAUUUCCCUCCGAGGUCAAAAUGGUGAAUAUGAUCUAUGUCACCCACCUCCCCAAACCGGAGCGCAAGCGUGCAUUAGGGGACGUCUACGCCAUAGAGUCGGUCGCCCACAAAAUUCAACCCAUGGUUGGCUUGUCCUAUCACCUUCGACCAAAAAGACCACCCGACCAGUAUCCGUCAUGGAGGUUCGGCAGCUUUGGUCCUCGACCCAAUCAACAAUGGAUUCCACCUCACGCGAGUCCUCAUGGACGAUGGCAGUAGCCUUAACCUGCUUUACCAGGACACCGUCCGCAAAAUGGGUAUUGAUCCGUCAAGAAUCAAGCCCACUAAAACUACCUUUAAAGGAAUAAUACCCGGCGUAGAGGCCCGUUGCUCGGGCUCAAUAACAUUGGAAGUUGUCUUCGGCUCGCCUGACAACUUCCGCGGUGAAGACUUGAUCUUCGAUAUCGUACCCUUCCGAAGUGGCUAUCACGCACUGCUCGAACGGACCGCGUUCACUUGAUUCAACAUGGUCCCGCACUAUGCUUAUUUAAAACUCAAGAUUCCCAGUCCACGCAGCGUCAUUAUAGUCAAUGGAAACACGGAAUGCUCCCUCCGCACGGAGGAGCACACCGGGCUCUCAUAGCCAAAGUACAGAGUGCCCCCCUCAAGCCGCACACCUCAUCGGCCAUCAAGCCGCAUGUUGGGGAUAUAACUAUUUGUGUAAGCCGCCCAGGAGGGCCGGGUUAUGCAAAGAGGAUUCAUCAAAGAGAAGCCCAAGACCAAAGCAUGAAGAUGGCGGUUCAUAAAGAGUUUAAAAGCCCACAUGCGACUUAAGGCCCGUUGUGGUAAACCGCUGUAAUAAUAUUACUUGUAUCAUAAGGUAGAUUUAACUAGUCACCGAGCCGGACAUUGUUUAUAAGCCGGCCGGGACUCUGUAAGCUGUAGGGCAUCCACCCGUGUAUAUAAGGGGACGACCCGCUGGCGGCUUAGGGCAAGAAACAACUCAUCGAGAGCCAGGCAUAGCGUAUCUCGCUCCCUGGUCAUCGAAACAUCAAUACCAACCCAACUAGACAUAGGCCUUACCUUCACGGUAAGGGGCCAAACUAGUAUAAAAUCCUCUCAUUUCCUUUGUCCCGAUUAACCCCUUCAAGAUUCCUAGUUGCGAUGGCUCCACAACUAAGUCAUUUCACGAGGACAUCUGACGUGACAAUUUCACGACAGUUGGCGCCCACCAUGGGGCCAGCGCACGGUGGAUUUGAGUUCUUGAAGGGCAACUUCGAAGGGCUCAAGGGAUACGUAGUAGGCCGCAUGACCAAGAGUCGUCGCGGCAAGAUCUACAUUCACGAUGAAGGCUGGGGCCCCGACGCCGGCUCAAUUGAGUACGGGUACCGGGUCCCCUUCGGAGGGAUCCACGUCUUCAUCGGCCGGAUUGGUGAGCCUGGGCCUGAGCCGGACAACUGCACCGACCUCAUCGAGAUGGCUCAGCGUGCGAAACCCGCCCGAGCUCAACCCGGCAGGAAGCAUGUAUUUGUGGGCCGCGUCCACGGAGAAGAGCUUUCUGGAGGACCCGAAGAUGGUGGUGAGACGGCCGUCCACUCUGAUGGUGAUUCGUCCGCCAGUUCAACAUAUUCUCUGUAUCAAGUCCAAGAUGGUGUGCUCGGGGGCUGUUCCGAUGGCUUAAGUAUCCCGGACCCGUGCGAGUCACCAAAUUGGGCAGGAGUCUUUAUGGCUGGGACUCAACCCGGACAAAACUCUACAGCCGCGGCUACAAUUACUUCCGGGUUAGGAGCGGCCGGGACAGGAGGCCCUGUGCGCCCACCGGCUCAAGUGCUGAUAGACAUCAUGGACAAGCUUACGACCCUGUUAACUGCUACGGUUAUCCCUGCGAACAAAGAUGAGCAUGACGCAGAGGUAGCAUGGGUACGUGAGGAGAUAGCUCAGGCCAAGGAGGCCUUAGCAGCUGAGGAUACUAGACUAGCUACAGAGUGGGCGGCUCUCGAUGCCCGGGCACAGCAGUUGCAGUCGGAGGCUUACCAGCUCACGAUGAGUUUAAAUGCGUCCAAUGAGGUAAUGAGGAGGAGAUACCAGAAGACCCAAUCCCGGUUACCUCCGAAUUACGACCCUAGGGUUCUUUUUGCUACACCCGGAGCCGGCCCAAGUAACCCGCCCGAUGCAAAUCAGUUUAUAACACCCGGAGCAGGAGGACCGGCUCAGCGUCAGGAGAUGCCACCUCCUCAUAUGAGCAUGGCACCGCCGCGUUAUGUGCCGAUACCGGAGGGUCACUUUUCCAACCCCAUGGAGAAUUUAAUCGCAGCGCCAGCGCGUCUGGCGGCUCUUCCAGUGGACGGUGAUGAUCCAACAGCGGUGGAGACCCGGAGGAUCAGGGAACUUGUCCAGACAGCCCUGGCUUAGCAGGAGACCUAUUCUUACAACCGGGAUAGGAUUCAUUCAACCCCUCCGCCUUGGUUAGCACCGCCUCGUCAGAACUAGAGCCCGAGUUACAGCAGGCACAUGGAGUCCCAAGCUUUGGCAAGCAACACCCAACACCGUGACCAACAUGGUGGCUAUAACCCGGUGCAAGACCGAGUACGUCAGGAGAACGAGCGGGCGGCUCAGCUGGCGGCUCAACAGGUGGAUCAACGGGCGGCUCAUCAAGAUAUUUCAGAGUAUCCAACGACUUCUAUUGAGAUGGGAGUAGCCACCAGAACCGGUGGUGUUCCUUGUUUAAUACCGGCUUUGCGCAACGUGCGCCUGCCCAAGGACUUCAAGGGGUUUCGAAAGGUGCCGAGUUACACAGCCGACUUACAGCCUGGAGCAUGGAUUGAGAGUUAUGAGAUGGCCAUGGAGCUGUUGGAGGUCAGUGACGCGGCAAUGGCUAAAUACUUCACCAUGAUGUUAGAUGGAACGGCUCGAUCUUGGUUAAAAGGUUUACCACCUAAUUCCAUUGGUUCGUGGGAGGAGUUAAAAGCCCGCUUCAUCCAAAACUUCAAGGGCACCUGUAAGCAAUCUAUGUCAAUCGUGGACUUGAUGAUUUGUAAGCAGGGGGAGGGUGAAUACACCACCCAUUGGGUACGCCGAGUCAAGGAAAUAAUUCAUUCAUCUGAUAAGAUGGAUGCCGGCUCUGCUGUCCUCAUGCUGGAGAAAAAUUGCAACUUUGAACCGUUGAGGCAGAAAUUGGGGCGCCUUAAGCGUGAUUGCAGCGAUAUGGGAACGCUGAUGGCGACUUUAGUCAAAUAUGCCGAUUAUGAUAGUACCAAGGACCCCGCGUCUGAUGAUGAGAAGAUAGGGAAGGGAAAAAGGAACGGUAAUGGAAAGGGUCAACAACACAACCCGAGGAAUCACUGCGGCAAUAAGCGUAAGGUGGACGGCAGCCCGGAGCUUGUGGCCAACGCUAGUACACAGGGUAACAAUCAGAGACGUAAGGGUAAGUGGCCUCGAUCCGGCGGGUCAGGCCCAUCUCUUGAGCAGCUACUCAAUGAGCCCUGCCCGAAACACGGAACCCGGGAGCACCCCGCUACACACCUGUGGAAGGAUUGUGCGAUCAUGAAGGCGUUUAAAAAUUCCAAUACCUUUAAUGGUACUCAUGGACCUGGUGGCGGUUCAGGGGCUGGCGGCUUCCAUGGCCCGGGCGGCGGUUCAAAUUCCGGUUUUCAGGGACAGCCGGGUGGAAAUAAUCAGCAGCAAGCUGGUCAGGGAGGACAACAGCAGCAGCAGUCGGGUUACCAGAGCCAGCCGAAGCAGUUAAGCGGUGGGCAGUACCAUGUGUUUACCACUAGCUUAUGCAAACGUGACCAGAAGGUUCAUAAGAGGGCUGUAAAUUCGGUUGAGCCGGCAGUUCCUCGUUAUUUGAGAUGGUCAGAGCAACCAUCAUUUGGAGCAGAGAGGAUCACCCUCCACGCGUCGAUAAUCCGGGCCAGUUAGCCUUGGUGGUAGCACCCCAGGUUGGUGGAUAUAAAUUCACUAAGGUACUCAUGGACGGAGGCAGAAGCAUCAAUAUACUCUAUUAUGAGACCUUCCAGCAUAUGGGGUUGACCGAGAAGAAUCUGAGAACAUCCAACACUGUUUUCCACGGGGUGGUUCCAGGAAAGUUGGCUUACCCAGUUGGUAAGAUUGAAUUAGAGGUGGCCUUUGGAGAUGAGUAUGAUUCCAAGGCUGAGAAGCUGACGUUUGAGGUGGUCAAAAUCAGGAGUCCAUAUCACACUCUAUUUGGGUGACCAGCUUAUGCUAAGUUCAUUGCACAGCCGUGUUACGUUUACUUAUAGCUCAAGAUGCCGGGUUACAAGGGCACCAUCACCGUGCAUGGGAGUCGAAAGGUGGCUUUGGAAUGUGGAGAAGGCGACGCGGCUUACGCUGAGACGGCCUGUGCUGCGGAGGAGCUCAAAUUCUAUCAAGACAAUGUUGACCCGGCGGAUAUGACCUCCCUCAAGAAACCAACUACUGAGCAUGACCCGGCGUUGAAAUUUAAAUCGGCUGCUGAGACAAAGCUUGUUGACUUCACCCCGGGAGACGCCUCUAAGCAGUUCAGUAUCAGUGCCAAUUUGGAUCCUAAAUAGGAAAGCACGCUCAUCGAGUUCAUCCGUGAGAACCGGGACAUCUUUGCAUGGAAACCUUCUGACAUGCCGGGUGUACCGAGAGAACUCGCUGAGCACAUUCUCAAUAUUGAUCCGAAGUAUAAGCCGGUCAGGCAGUUUCUCCGACGAUUCAACGAAGAGAGACGAACAUCUAUUAGGGAAGAGGUGGCCCGGCUCUUAGCGGCCGGGUUUAUUGUUGAAGUUUUUCAUCCGGAGUGGUUGGCUAACCCGGUGCUGGUGCUCAAGAAGAAUGGCACUUGGCGGAUGUGUGUGGAUUACACGGACUUAAAUAAGGCUUGUCCGGCUGAUCCCUUUGCUCUCCCUCGUAUUGAUCAAAUCAUUGAUGCUACGACGGGUUGUGAAUGUUUGAGUUUUUUGGAUGCUUACUCUGGUUAUCAUCAGAUCAAGAUGGCAGUUAAGGACUAGGAGAAGACAACUUUUAUCACUCCAUUUGGGGCCUUCUGUUAUGUUUCUAUGCCGUUUGGGCUCAAGAGUGCCCAGGAAACUUAUCAGCGAUGUGUGCAGAACUGUUUGCACAAUCAAAUUGGGCGCAAUGUUCAUGCUUAUGUGGAUGACAUUGUGGUGAAGUCCAGAGAAAAGGAAACUUUAAUAUCCGACUUGAGAGAGACCUUUGACAAUCUCCGGGUUUACAAGAUGAUGCUUAACCCGGCCAAGUGUGUGUUUGGUGUACCUGCAGGCAAGCUCUUGGGCUUUCUGGUGUCAAAUAGAGGCAUUGAAGCUAAUCCGGAGAAGAUCACGGUGAUUACCUCUCUGGCUAAGCCGGCAUGUAUCAAUGACGUUCAACGCCUGGCGGGACGUGUUGCUGCUUUAAGCCGGUUCAUAAGCCGGUUAGGGGAGAAGGCCUUACCGCUAUAUCAGAUGAUGAAGAAAACUGACACUUUUGUCUGGAGCGAUGCUGCUAACACAGCCUUUGAAGAUUUAAAGAGACAGUUGUCUGAGCCACCGGUUCUUGCAGCUCCCAUUGAUAAAGAGCCGCUAUUGUUAUAUGUGGCUGCUAAUUCACGGGCCGUUAGUGUUGCCAUCAUGGUGGAGCGUAAGGAGGCAGGCAAGGAGCAUCCGGUUCAACGGCCGGUUUAUUACAUCAGCAAGGUACUCAUUGAGUCUAAACAAAGGUAUCCACAUUGGCAAAAGCUUGUUUAUGGUGUGUUCAUGGCAAACCAGAAGCUGAAGCAGUACUUCCAAAGUCACCCUAUAACGGUGCUAAGCUCAGCUCCUUUGGGAGACAUCAUUCAGAAUAGGGAAGCCACAUGACGAAUCGCUAAGUGGGCUAUUGAGCUUGGGCCUUAUGGUUUGAAGUAUAUGCCCCGUACUGCUAUCAAGUCUCAGGCCUUGAUGGAUUUUAUCAAUGAUUGGACAGAGUUGCAGGCACCUGAGGAGAAGCCAGACAAUACAUGUUGGACUAUUCACUUUGAUGGGUCCAGGCAGUUAGAAGGAUCCAGGGCUGGAGUUGUCUUAACUUCCCCUCGAGGUGACAAAUUUCGUUAUGUACUCCGGCUUAUGUUUCCCUGUACUAACAACGCAGCUGAAUACAAGGCCUUGCUCCAUGGUCUCCGGAUGGCUAAGGAGAUGAAUUUAAGCCGAGUCAGGUGUUUGGGCGACUCAGACCUCGUAGCUCAACAGGUCUCAGGCACAUGAGAUUCUAAGGAUCCCCUUAUGGCGGCUUAUCACCGUGAAGUGGAUGCUGUAGCAGGGUACUUCAAAGGGUAUCAGGUGGAGCAUAUUGAUAGAAGGAAAAAUGAGGCGGCUGAUGCUUUAAGCCGGUUGGGCUCUCAGCGUAAGAUGGUGCGCCUAACACCUUUCUUGACAUUCUGCAUAAUCCUUCUGUCAAAGUACCUACAGAGGAAGAGCUUGCAGUGCCAGACCCGGAGGCAUAGUUGGUGGCCGCACUUCACGUCAUCCCGGAUUGGACAUUGCCAUACUUGGCUUAUAUGACCCGGGGAGAGCUGCCUGAGGAUGAGACCUUGGCGAGACAAAUUGUCAGGCGGUCCAAAUCCAUGACAAUUGUUAAUGGCGAGUUACAUCACCUCAGUGUCACAGGGGCGUUCCAGCGUUGUGUGUCACCUGCAGAGGGUCAAGAGAUACUUCGAGAGAUCCAUGAAGGGGAUUGUGGUCAUCAUGCCGGUUCAAAAUCUCUGGUGGCCAAGGCUUUCCAUCAUGGUUUUUAUUGGCUGACGGCUCAUGCUGAUGCAGAAGAUCUUGUUAGCAAGUGUGACGGGUGUCAAAAAUUCUCACGACGAGCUCAUAUGCCGGCCCAAGAAUUGAGGAUGAUUCCAAUUACUUGGCCGUUUGCAGUCUGGGGGCUUGACAUGGUGGGACCUUUCAAAAGGUCUAAGGAUAAAAAGACACACCUCCUGGUGGCAGUGGAUAAAUUUACAAAGUGGAUUGAGGCAGAGCCGGCCAGUCAGUGUGAUGCGGCCACAACAGUUCAGUUCAUCAAAAAGGUGAUCUUUUGUUUUGGUUUUCCACAUAGCAUCAUAACUGAUAAUGGCACUAAUCUCUCCAAGGGUGCCAUGGAAGAGUUCUGUCAACGGGAACAUAUCCGGCUUGACGUUUCGGCUGUUGCUCAUCCUCAGUCCAUUGGUCAAGCAGAAAGGGCUAAUCAGGAGAUCUUAAGGGGUAUCAAACCACGACUCUUGGUCCCCUUACAGCGGACUCCGGGUUGUUGGGUGGAAGAGUUGCCCUCUGUGCUGUGGAGCAUGAACACUACGCCUAACAGGUCCACGGGUUACACGCCUUUUUUCAUGGUUUAUGGAGCAGAAGCAGUUCUGGCAAGUGAUAUCCGGCACGAUUCGCCUCGUGUGGUGGCUUACGUCAAGGCUGAUAAUGAAAAAGCUCGACAGGAGGCACUUGACUUGUUGGAUGAAGAGCGAGACUUGGCAAUAGCCCGCUCAGCGAUUUACCAGCAAGACCUUCAUCGCUAUCACAGCCGCCGGGUCAGAAGCAGAACCUUUCAGGAAGGCGAUUUAGUGCUCCGGCUCAUCCAGGAUCAGUCCGAUAUGCACAAGCUAUCCCCUCCUUGGGAAGGACCCUUUUUGGUCAGCAAGAAUCUGAAUAACGGGUCAUACUACCUCAUCGAUAUUCGAGAGCACAAAGAUUCAUGUAAGUCGGAGGAGGAGACCCGCCGGCCGUGGAAUAUAGCCCAUCUUCGGCCUUACUAUACUUAAGCCACCGACUCUUUAGAUGUAUAUAUUUUUUGACAAUGUAUAUAUAUUAUAUCAAGUAAUAAAGCAGGACCCGAGGGAGUCCUGGACUAGGGGGUGUCCGGAUAGCCGAACUAUCAUCAUCGGCCGGACUCCAAGACUAUGAAGAUACAAGAUUGAAGACUUCGUCCCGUGUCCGGAUGGGACUUUCCUUGGCGUGGAAGGCAAGCUUGGCGAUACGGAUAUGUAAAUCUCCUACCAUUCUAACCGACUCUGUGUAACCCUAGCCCUCUUCGGUGUCUAUAUAAACUGGAUGGCUUUAGUCCAUAGGACGAACAACAAUCAUACCAUAGGCUAGCUUCUAGGGUUUAGCCUCCUUGAUCUCGUGGUAGAUCUACUCUUGUAAUACCCACAUCAUCAAUAUCAAUAAAGCAGGACGUAGGGUUUUACCUCCAUCAAGAGGGCCCGAACUUGGGUAAAACAUCGUGUGCCUUGUCUCCUGUUACCAUCCGCCUAGACGCACAGUUCGGGACCCCCUACCCGAGAUCCGCCGGUUUUGACACCGACAUUGGUGCUUUCAUUGAGAGUUCCUCUGUGUCGUCACCGAUAGGCUCGAUGGCUUCUCCGAUCAUCAACAACGACGUAGUCCAGGGUGAGACCUUUCUCCCCGGACAGAUCUUUGUAUUCGGCGGCUUUGCACUGCGUGCCAAUUCGCUUGGCCAUCUGGAGCAGAUCGAAAGCUACGCCCCUGGCCGUCAGGUCAGAUUUGGAAGUUUGAACUUCACGGCUGACAUCCACGGAGACUUGAUCUUCGAUGGAUUCGAGCCACAGCCGAGCGCGCCACACUGUCACGACGGGCAUGAUUUAGCUCUGCAGCCGGACAUCGCCUUGGAGGCCGCACACGAGUCUGCUCCGAUGCUCAAUUUGGAGCCGGCCACACAUAUCGAGGACGGGUGGCUAGACACCGCCUCGGGGGCUGCAACCUCUACGGCGAUGGAGCCGAACACUGACCUUGUCCCUCAUGAAGCUUGUGACUCCGAGGUGCCAGAUUCCUCGCCGGACUCCGAACCUCCCGCACCCCCUCCAAUCGAAUUCGAUUGGGCACCGAUCAUGGAAUUUGCCGCUGCGGACAUCUUUCAACACUCACCUUUCGGCGACAUCUUGAGUUCGCUAAAGUAUCUCUCGUUAUCAGGAGAGCCCUGGCCGGACUACGGUCAGGACGGUUGGGAUGCGGACGACAAAGAAAUUCAAAGCCCACCCACCACCCACUUAGUAGCCACUGUCGACGAUCUAACCGACAUGCUAGACUUCGACUCCGAAGACAUUGAUGGUAUGGACGACGAUGUCGGAGACGACCAAGAACCAGCGCCUACUGGGCACUGGAAAGCCACCUCAUCAUAUGACAUAUACAUGGUGGAUAUCCCAAAGGAUGGGAAUGGCGAAGGACCAGCGGAGGAUGACCCCUCCAAAAAACAGCCCAAGCGCCGGCAUCAGCGGCGCCGCUCUAAAUCCCGCCACAGCAAGAAUGGAGAUUCCGGCACCGGAGAUAAUAACACCCCAGACAGUGCCGAAGACAACCCCCUCCAGCAAGAUUCAGCACAGGAGGACGGAGAUGCCAGCCCUCAUGAGAGAGCAGCAGACGAAGAGGUAGAGGAUUACAUGCCUCCCUCCGGAGACGAGGCAAGCCUCGACGACGACGAAUUCAUCGUGCCUGAGGAUCCCGUCGAACAAGAGCAUUUUAAACGCAGGCUUAUGGCCACGACAAACAGCCUCAAGAAAAAGCAGCAGCAGCUUAGAGCUGACCAAGAUCUGCUAGCCGAUAGAUGGACUGAAGUCCUUGCGGCCGAAGAGCAUGAGCUCGAACGCCUCUCCAAAAGCUACCCUAAACGCAAGCUGCUCCCCCGAUUAGAGGAGGAGGCAUAUGAACCUGCAUCACCAGCAGACAAUACGGCUGACCGACCACCCCGUGGCCGCGACAGAGAGGCCUCUAGGCCCUCCACUAGAACCGUACCCCGACAUCGCUCGAAAAGCACACGGCCACAGGGGAACACUCUGGACUUGCGAGAUAUAUUGGAGGAUAAGGCAAGACAAUCAAGAUCGAUCUAUGGAUCGCGUGGGCGCCCCAUGAUACGUGAUGACAACCGUCGCGCCGGACACAGUAAGUCCGGCCGGGCCGAACACAAUAGACAAAGCUCUUUUGAACUUCAUCGUGAUAUCGCCCAAUACAGAGGCACCGCACACCCACUAUGCUUCACAGAUGAAGUAAUGGAUCAUCAAAUCCCCGAAGGGUUUAAACCCGUGAAUAUUGAAUCUUAUGAUGGCACAACAGACCCUGCGGUUUGGAUCGAAGACUAUCUCCUUCAUAUCCACAUGGCCCGCGGUGAUGAUCUUCACGCCAUCAAAUACCUCCCACUCAAGCUUAAAGGACCAGCCCGACAUUGGCUUAACAGCUUGCCAGCAGAGUCAAUUGGGAGUUGGGAAGACCUAGAAGCCGCAUUCCUCGAUAACUUCCAAGGCACGUAUGUGCGACCACCAGACGCUGACGACCUAAGCCAUGUAAUUCAGUAGCCAGACGAAUCGGCCAGACAAUUCUGGACACGGUUCUUAACUAAGAAAAAUCAAAUCAUCGACUGUCCAGAUGCGGAGGCCCUCGUGGCCUUCAAACAUAACAUCCGCGACGAAUGGCUUGCCCGGCACCUGGGACAGGAAAAGCCGAAAUCCAUGGCAGCCCUCACAUCACUCAUGACCCACUUCUGCGUAGGUGAGGACAGCUGGCUAGCACGCAGCAACAACCUCAGCAAAAAUUCUGGCAGUCCGGAUAUCAAGGACCGCAAUGGCAGGUCGCGUCGCUACAAAAACAAACGCCGCAUCAACGGCGACAAUAGUGAGGAUACGACAGUCAAUGCCGGAUUCAGAGGCUCUAAACCCGGUCAGCGGAAAAAGCCAUUCAAAAGUACUACUCCAGGUCCGUCCAAUUUGGAUCGAAUACUCGACCUCUCGUGCCAGAUACACGGCACCCCCGAAAAGCCAGCUAACCACACCAAUAGGGACUGUUGGGUAUUCAAGUAGGCAGGCAAGUUAAUUGCUGAAAACAACGACAAGGGGCUGCAUAGCGAUGAUGAGGAAGAGACCCGACCGCCAAACAAUAGAGGACAGAAGGGUUUCCCCCCACAAGUGCGGACGGUGAACAUGAUAUACGCAACCCACAUACCCAAAAGGGAGCGGAAGCGUGCACUCAGGGAUGUAUACGCGAUGGAGCCAGUCGCCCUGAAGUUCAAUCCAUGGUCCUCCUGCCCGAUCACUUUUGAUCGAAGGGACCACCCCACCAGCAUCCGCCACGGCGGAUUCACCGCAUUGGUUUUAGACCCAAUCGUCGAUCGAUUUCACCUCACCAGAGUCCUGAUGGACGGCAGCAGCAGCCUGAACCUGCUUUAUCAGGAUACAGUGUGCAAAAUGGGCAUAGACCCCUCAAGGAUUAAAAGACGACUGAGGGAGUCCUGGACUAGGGGGUGUCCGGAUUGCCGAACUAUCAUCAUCGGCCGGACUCCAAGACUAUGAAAAUACAAGAUUGAAGACUUCGUCCCGUGUCCGGAUGGGACUUUCCUUGGCGUGGAAGGCAAGCUUGGCGAUACGGAUAUGUAAAUUUCCUACCAUUGUAACCGACUCUGUGUAACCCUAGCCCUCUCCGAUGUCUAUAUUAACCGGAUGGCUUUAGUCCGUAGGACGAACAACAAUCAUACCAUAGGAUAGCUUCUAGGGUUUAGCCCCCUUGAUCUCGUGGUAUAUCUACUCUUGUAACACACAUCAUCAAUAUUAAUCAAGUAGGACGUAGGGUUUUACCUCCAUCAAGAGGGCCCGAACCUGGGUAAAACAUCGUGUCCCUUGUCUCCUGUUACCAUCCGCCUAGACGCACAGUUCGGGACCCCCUACCCGAGAUCCGCCAGUUUUGACAUCGACAGGACCUCUGUCCUUUUUUCACCCUCAACAAAGUGUAUAUGUCUUUUUGACACGUGGUGGAAACAACCAUUAUAGGCUGGAUCAUAUCUGAAUCCGGCUUUACCUUUGGUGCGGCUUAUGAUCAUAUCUGAAUCUAGCCAUGAUCACUUGGGGGCUUCCUAUUCAAACGUAGGUCGUAUCCGAACCAAAGAGAACAUAGCUGUCGAUACCUGCUUGAUCGGCAUACCGCCAAACCUACUUGGGGGCUUCUUGAUCAUAUUUGAAUCACAGCUUAACCCCUAUAGGUCUGACGUGGAUCGUAUACGAAUCAACAUCAUUAAACAAAUCUUAUGGUCACUUAGGGGCUUCCUGUUCAAACAUAGGUCGUAUUCGAACCAAAGAGAACAUAGCUGUCGAUACCCUUUUGAUCGGCAUCGCCAAACCAUUGUGGGCUAUAUGAUUGUAUCCGAAUCUUAGCUUAACCCCUUUGGAACGGUUUACUGAUCGUAUCCGAAUCAGAAGCCUGUAAAGUAUUUUGAUGAUCUUGAAACCUUGUGGAAAACAUUAUGAAAUGUUUUUUUCCUUGCCGGUUUAAUGUUUCGUCACCCCAGGUUGGUAAGUGCCGGGUGAAUAUUAUAUGAGCCGGGAAGAUUAUCAAAGGAUCGCAUGUAUGCUAUUAUGCUUAGGUUUAAACAACAUAAUCUUAAAUCAGCAUACAUAUACGUUUUUUUGGUUUGUGUUCCGGGUUAUCAAUACUUUCUGUGCAGAAUAAGGCAAGCAAAAUUUAAAAUGCCAAGGAAGUAAAAGCCAGAAAUAUACAACCAUGGCGGCUUAUGGAAAGCGGUAAGUGAUAAGAACAUGCACGGAGGCAUGAAGAGCAUUGGGAAGUUCUUUCUACCCUAUUACAAGACUCCUUGAGUCAGAAUAGAUGAAACAUUGUUUUUUAGCCAAACACCUGGCGAUUUAUUCCUUCGGCGGGCUUGAAGGCUCCGGGUUAUCCUUCUCCACUUCUCUGUCGGCUGUUUUGUCCUGGAAAGUUGACGAGGCCCAGUCAAUGCCGCUCAAAGCUUCAAACUCAGCUUCAUCAUCUAUUAAACCGGCCGGGUCCACUUCAGGGGCAAAAUUAUGCUUACGAAUUGGAGGGAUCAGGCUGAUCUGAUCAGAUGGAGCGUUUGGGAUUCUUCGGUUUUCACUGUCAUAAGCCGGCGCAUACUUGCUAAGGUCAGAGUCGUUUCCAAUAAGGGUUGCCACCGGACGUAUGGCUCUGACACAGGCGGUGAAAUCAUGAUCAUCAAAUGCAGUGCCGUCUUCCUUCAGACUUGGGUACCCAAGGGCAAGGUCGGCCGAGUCUAGUUCUGGGAGCCAUGCUUUAGCCCGGCUCAAUGCGGCCAUGGCCCCGGCUCUUGAGGACGCCCGCCUUAGGUCUUGGAUCCGCCGAGGAGAAAAGCGAGGCUCUUCAACACGUCUUGCAGAAGGCGGGGAUGUGGAGUUGAUAAAGCUACAACGGCCAAGGCGCGUUGUGACCCAGAGUACAUCUGUUCUACUAAGGUGUAAACUGCUUUAAGCUUGAUCAGCAUGUUUUGCUUCAGAUUGGUACUCCUGGGGCCUGUAUGGGCAUAAACAUGACCGUCAGCCGGAAGUAAUUAAUGCAAUAAUAAUUGUAAUGUUACAAUGUUUAAGGCUGUUUUCACAAAUAACUUACCGAAGAUGGCAGAGACCAUUUGAGAUAUAUGUUGUUUUAAGUCGGAUAGCUCGGUUGUUGCUUCUGCAAGGGAUGUUUCGGCUGUUUCGGCCCGAGUCACCAGAGAAGCCUUCUCACCAGCCCAAAUUUUCUUCUCCGACUCAAAUUUCUUCUUUAGUUUCUCAUUUUCAGAGACACCGAAUUCAAAUUUGGAGUUAGCCUUCUGUGUUUCAAGUUCUUGAGUUUCCAGAUGACUCUUCAGGACCGCAAGCUCUGAUUCAAACUGAUUUAUGGCAGCCUGCAUUACACCAGGUUAUGGUAAGGAUGAUAAGGUAACAUUAAAGUCUCAAGCACCUUACAAGUAAAGAUACUUGACACUUGGGGGCUAAUGUAUGCUGAAGAAUUUUAAACCUUCUCUUGCCGGGUCACAUAUAUUAAAGUCUCAAGUACCUUACAAGUAAAGAUACUUGACACUUGGGGGAUAAUGUGUAUUGCAAAUUUAAAAACCUUAUGUUAUAACCAGGUUAAGUAAAUUCUUUUUGAGCCGGAUAAGUUAACAAGUAUAGCAGAUUUCUAAAGUCUACAACAUAUUUGCUCAAUAAACAAUAGACUUGGGGGGUAGUACAGUAUGUAAGACUCAGGUAAAAAGUAUAAGUAAUACCUCGGAUUUGUGCUGUAUUUGUUUCACCAUGUCAAUUUCCAGGUCACGGCUGUUAUGCACUUGAUUCAGAUAGCCCGAGACUAUAUCACCAAUGCUUAAGUGAGUAUAAUCAGUAAGGUUCUUCUUGGCUUUUCGGCGUUGGGCAAAUUCCUCCUUGGCGGUACAUUUGGCAAGGACGGUAGGCCGUCCGGGUUCAACAAACUGAGAUUUCACAAUCUCAACUUCCGGUUCAUUUGUUUUGACCGGGCUAGGAGUUUUCGGGUCACUUGCAUGGAGAGUAUCUUCGGCAGGUGGAUCAGAAGUUGGCAUUGGAAUAUCAUAAGCCGGAUCUGGCGGUGGCUGAUGGGCAGAGUUGUCUGGAACAGAUGCAUUAAUCACUGGUUCGGUUACGACCAGUUCUUCGGAUGGUUUAUUCUUCUUUACCCGUUUACUGG
Molecule: long non-coding RNA, 69892 nt
Filed under: Triticum aestivum (bread wheat)
Lineage: Eukaryota; Viridiplantae; Streptophyta; Magnoliopsida; Poales; Poaceae
Description: long non-coding RNA (TAES_LNC021944)
Source: RNAcentral